GUGAAGAGGCCUUCUCCUUCAUAAUUCGGUCCUGCUAGAAUUUCGCCAUGGGGCGAAAUGAUGACACUACCUCCAGCCCAAACAAUAGAAUCUGGAGUGACAUCUUCUUCUGUAGGACUGUAAAGAUACUCAGGUGGAGGUGGGUAAUCUUUCCUCCGACAGAACUGGAUGGGUGAAAGAACAUAGCAUCCACCCUCAAUAGCGACGUGUCUCAUUGUAGCUACCCAUGUAUCCCCGGAAUCGGCAGUAGGAGCACAAUAUAUCUCAAUACCUAUAUAGAUGUACAUUCGUAUUUUGUGAUCAAUCAAUCCCAUAUCAAAGCCAUAAUGUAUUUCAAGCCAAAUCAUAUUAGUUAGUGAAGAAAAAGAAAUGGUAAAAGACAUACCUUUGCCAUACAUUGCUGUCCUGAAAAGUGGCAUUCUAUUUUCCCAACAAAUGACCGAACCAAGUUUUCCAUAUGGAGUGUCAUAAACUGGAGUUGUCGAGCAAUCUCCGAAACCCCAGAACAGCCGCUCCCAAUAUGUUGGCAUGAGUUUCCUAUGUUUUCCAAGGUAAUUACCUUCAGGAUCAAAGAAGAGAACUGUGGAAUACAAUGUGUAUCCAUCUCUCUCAACAACGCCUGUCACUAAGUAGACUUUGUAUUUCGCAGCCAUUGAUGCCAAUCUAUCCGCUUCAGGUCCUGAAAAUACAUUAAUAUGAGAUCAAAGAUGAAACAUGUAAGCUGAUCGUUCAUCACAAAGCAUAAGUAUAAUUUUUUUCUUGGUUCAUUCAUCAAACGUGUCUUGUUUCAAUAACUAAUUAAGUGGUUCAGUUCUUUAGCUAUUUAAGGGAGAAAGAGAGAGAUAACUGACCCGGCACAUUAAUGGCAGAAGCAUGGUACUUGCGGAAACUUUCUUUCCCUCUUGGCGACUGGUCGGCAAAGUUGUAUCCCCGGGGAUACCCACCGAUAAAUGCUUCAGGAAACACAACCAGUUGGGAUCCUAGUGCAGCUGCUUCUUUCAAAAACCUCUCAGCCUUAUCUGCUCUCAAAAUCACAUUGCAAGAAUUAAUAAUCCACGACUUAGAAAGUAAAUGAAUUGGUUGAAUGGAGAGAAUGAAAAUUAACUUCAAGGGAUCCCGAAUGACUUUUUGGUUGCUGAGAAAACUCAAGGAAAAAGAGACCUAGAUGAAACUUGAAACUCUCAUAUUUUCAGCUGUUUUGUAACUAAGAAAAGAGAAACCACCUCAACCCAACUCAUUAAAAUAAUUGUAAAAGCAGUAAUUCCUUGAUUGGCAGCUGAAAAUAUGAUCAGGGUUCAAUCAUCCUUUUCUUUUUUUCAGUCUCUGACCAACCAAUUAGAUCACAUAUUCCAUUACACAAGUUGCACAAUUGAAAGAAAUGGUACGUUACCUAGAGUGGCAGGAGUAUCAUAAAAGAUACUAGAAGCUUGAACAACGGUGGCUCUAACAGUUGAAGACAUUGCAGAAAUCGUAUGCUUUUUCGUUUCCCUUUUGUUUGAGGAUUCCUUACACAACGUUCAGUAUAUAUAUUGCCCAUGAACAUGAGGUUCUUCUGCCAUUACUUGAACGAGACGAAGAGGCUGUGAAAAGUCUGCCUUGGUUUUCUAUAUUUAUUGUGAGCUUUUCUCCUCAUCACAAAUUUUGAAGUUAUCCGCAGACAUUGUGGACCAGCGACAUGACUUGUACAAAUUGAAAAUGACUGUGAUCUGUGAAAAGUAAUUUAAGAUAAAAUUCAAUUCAUGGUUUGAUAGUUUUAGACAAACAAAACACAAAGGUGAACACAUACCCAAAUUAUUAGGCUUUUAUUUUCAUUUCUUUUAUAUGUAUAUAUAUAAUGUAUAAGUUGCUAUGAUUAUUUGAAUUAAAGAAGGGACCCGCCCACGUGCAUAGUGGUGGCUGAGGCCUUUUGUGACCUCAAAAUAAAAGAAAAAAAGAAUAGUCAUUAAAAGCACAAGAUAGUCAUUAAAAGUACAUAGUGUUAUAGUUUUAGACGCCCAAAAGAAGUCUUUUUGUGCCUUGUAAGAAUCAAAAUAAGUUUUAUCGCUUUCUUUUUUUUCUACAGGUACGAUGAUUAUCUUUGAACGAAAAGAGGGAGCCGCCCACAUGCAUGGAUUCCAUCCAUCUAGCACACAGAUAAAUUGUCAUUUGUGGCUUGAGGCUUUCUAUGACUUGUACUAUAUAUCUAUAAAACCCAGCAUAUAGCUAACAACUGGGUCCGACCUCAUGUAUUGGUCCCUACCAAAAAUUAAUGAGUGAUUCAAUGGCAGCUAUGGUAGAAAAAUAAAAAGGGAGAACUAUGCUUACCCUCACGUUGAUUCAAGCAAAUAUAUUUUUUAGGAAUUCUAAUUUUCAUAUUUCACCCAAAACGCAUAAUCAAUAAAUUUAUCCUUCAAAUAUGUAUUUUAAUAACAACCAAAAUGAGAAUUCUAUAGUUAUCCCUUAUAAAAUCUUUAAUAUGACAAGUCAUCAUUUGAUCUGUUUGAUAUCCUCUCCAUAUCAUGUAUUUGAUAUCCUAACUUUGACAUUUUUUUAUUUAUAUACGCUGAAGUGAAUACACUUUCAUAUUUCUUUUCGUUCUUUUAAUAUUUUCAUAUUUAUUAACUUAGUCAUUUUUUUGAAACAUUAACAUAAAAUUAUAAUAUAUGAUCAAUAACUAAUGAGAACAAAUUAAACAUAAAUAUAAGUAUGAAAUGGACAGAAAAUAAAAAUUUUAUCCUACAAACAAUACACUAAAUAGUUUAAAAUAUUAAUUAUAAUAAUAUAUUUGAUACUUUAGGGUUUAGAUUAAAAAAUUAUGUUUUACUUUUUAGAGGCUAGGAUAUAGGAUUUCCAUUAACCAAAGAUUUUUUGUAUGAAUCCUAAAUAAAAUGUGCAUUUAUUUUGCAAAUUCUUAUCAUAUAUAAUUAAAAUAAAAUAAAUAUAUUUUUAUCAUAUUAUUUUUAAUUUUUAUUAUUUUGUGUCAAAAUCAUAGUCAAUGAUGGUGGUUUUUGUUAUGAUAUAGCUCUUAAAAGGAUGUUAUGAUGUAAUAAAUAUGAAGUUUAUUAUUUAUUUAAUGGUAUUUUGAUUUCACUUUUAUUAAUCUUUAUUUCAUGCAUUUUACCUUAUGAGUAUUCUAGCCUGACAUUUCUUGCACUAUACAUAACUUGGGUGCAUUAAAAAUUGCAAGAAAGAUCCAAGUUAUAGGUUCCUUGCAAGUAAAUGAUUUGUUCACAACUGCUUUGUGAACUUAAGUGAUCCAUUUGAUGUCAUAGUUCACUACCUCUUCAUUAGAGGAAUGAUUGAUCUUGACUAUCGAGAUAGAGUUCUCAUGGUGAGUACACUAGUAUGAUGAGUUAUGAUGUAAAGUUGUUGGAUAGUCAUAACUUCACUAAGUUGUUAUAUUGUAUUGUUUUCUCAACCUUGAGAGAAUAUUGAACUUGUGCCAAAGUUUGUAAUUAUUUGACCUAUGGGUGAGAUCCUAAAGUGAUAAUAUAUUCCUUACGAAUUGGGUCACAGUAGAUAGAAGUCGGUAGUAAUAAGUAUUCUCAAUAGAGACAUCAUGAAAUCUCAUGGAAUUUGAGAUAGUGUUGGGUGAUAAUAAGGACAUGUAAUCAUGAAAUCUAUGGUUGUAUUAAUUCUUUAAAUGAAAUUUGAUAUAUGCUUUUGUGAGUUAGAGUAUGUUAGUUGAUCAUAUAAUAAGAGAAUAUAUAACUCAAGGAUGGUAAGGUAAUAUUGAAAGGCAAAUAACUUUCACCUUAUUAGAUUAUAAACACCAAUUCAUGGGGAGACUAUAUGCAAUAGAUAGCAGGUCAUGAAGUUAAGCAUUUUGUGUCUUUUUGUAAUACACAUAGGGCAUUGAAAUGUAAUUGACUUUCUAUAGUAAGAUGUUGAGCCAACUUUAAAAUUGGAUUAUAAAGGAGCCAAUACUAUCUUAUGGGUCUUAGCGGUCCUCGCUCAAGUUUAUAUAUCUCAAUGACAUGGUUUGUGAGGGUUGGAUUGACUCAUGAUUCACUUAUGUGCAAAAAGGCGUUUUGGCAAGUAUGCAUGAAUGCAUAAGAGUUUGUUGGGAUAAAACCUUAUAAAUCAUGAGAUGAUGUAAUAGAUUUAGUUUCAUUAAUAAAUUUAUUUAUUUACUAUUCUAGUUCCCUCAUAUUAUCCCAUUGUCAUUAAUUGGUUAUCGGAGUAUUUACACCCAUAUCACUUGCAUUGUACAUGACUUAGGUGUAUUAGGAGUUGAACAAAAAAUCCAAGUCAUGGGUUUUUUGCAAGGUGAUAAGUAGUUUAUAGUGGGUUCAUGGAUUUGAGCAAUUUAGUAGAGACUAUAGUAUACUACCUCCUAAUUGGAAAGAUAAAUUGUCUUAGUCACCGAGAUGACUUUCCCAUGAUGAGUGAAACAAUGUGUAUGGUUACACAUUGGACAUGACCUAUGGUGAAUUAUGACAUUAAUUUUUGGGUAGUCAUGAUUUACCAUGAUACUAUAUUAUAUAAACUCUCAACCUUGAGAAGAUAUUGAGUUUGUGCUGAAAUCAAUAGGAAACUUCGAUCUAUGGGUGAGAUCCUAGUGUGGUCAUAUAUUCCUUAUAAAUUGGGUCACGGUUGAUGAAGAUUGGUGGCAACAAGUGUUCUUAAUAGAGAUACCAUAAUAUCUUAUGAGAUUAAGAGAACGUGUCUCUUGGGUGAUCCUAAAGACAUGUGAUUAAGAUGACUACGACCAUAACAAUUCCUUUAGUAGAAUUUGACAUAUGCUCUUUGUAAGCUAGAAUAUGUCAAUUGAUCACUUAACAGGAGGAUUUGUAACUCAAGGAUUGGAGAGAUAAUUUUGAAAGGUUGGGAUCAUUACCUUGUUAGAUUACAAACACUAGUUCAUGGGGAGUUUACAUGCAGUGGAUAGUAGGUCAUAGACCUAAACUUUGCCUUGUUGUAAUUAUAUAGCAUAUUAGAGUGUAGUUGACUCUCUUUAGUAGGGUGUUAAGUUAACCUUAGAAUUGGAUUCAAAGUGAGAUAGUAUUUUCCUAUAGGUUCCAAUGGUCCCUACUCAAUUUGGUGUCACAUUUGUUUGAGGGAUUUUAGGUUUGUAGUUAACAAGUGUGCAUAAGGGGGAAUUUAAUAAAAAUACAAGGUUGGACUAGAUCUUGUGAAUAGACUUUCUAGAUUGGCAUAAUUUAUUAAUUGGAUUCUAAUAGGGCUAAUUAAUUAAUUAGGACCUAAGUGAGCUAAAUUAGGUAACCUAAGCCCAAUUUGGGCUCAAGUCACUAAAGUUCACAAGGAAGCUUAUAAAUAAUUAUUUAAAGCCCAUUGGGUUUUAUGAGUGACUUAAGCUUGCCUUGGGUUUGGGUAACUUAUUAUAGCCUAAAAAGGUUCUUAAUUGAGGGCUUAGAUUAAUCAAUUAGCUUAGUCCAAAAGUAACAUUCACCAAAUUUAUUGGAAACUUUGAAUUACUCCAUUUCAUGAUCCAGGAUCAUAUAGGGUGCAUGCAACUAUCCUUAGGCUUCUCUAGAUCUAAUGCAAUGGAAAAUAUGGAUAUAAAAUCCAUAAAAUGUACUAGAUUUAUAGAUUAGAACUCAUACCUAUGAUUUGAAUGUUUCUAAAUUAAAUCUAAUCCCUAAAAAACAUCAAAGAUGUUUUAAAAGUCAUUUAUUUCCACCCAAUCUCUCCUUUCACAAAUAGACCCUAGCAUAAAAGAAGGGUAGGCUUUUGUCUAUCUUUUUUGAAGGUAGCUAGGGUUUUCUCAUUCUUUUAUGGCAUCAAACUCUUAGACUUUUACUUUUUCCAUUCUCUCCCACAUGUCUAGAGAGAAUCUAGUCCCCACUCUUCUAGAUAUCUAACAUUGGAGUUCGUAGCUUCAAUGAGGAGCCAUCAAAUAGAAAACCAAUAGGUUUGUGAGAUUUUCGAUGACCCCUACACAUUUAAUAACCUCCUUGACUGCAAAAAUUUGAUUUGGGAACAUCUAGAUCUUGGUAAAUACUUCUAAUCUAUAGAUCUAGAUCUAAUUUCUAUUUUAAAGGUGAUUUUUCUUUCAUUGCUAGGGUCUAGAUAAGCCUAGGAAAGUCUGCAUGCACUUAACGAGAUCUAGGGAUAGGGAACUUAGUGAUUUAUGCUUUCUUGUAGUUGGAGCUUUUUGCUUUUGAUUUUAACUUGAGUGUACUUUUGGCAUUUUCUUGCUUAAGCUUUUAAUUUUUUUGAAUGAUGUACAAUGCAUUUAUUUUUUUAGAGGAAUGUAUUUAUUUUUCUUAAUGAUGUACUUCCUUUUUUGAAGGAUAUACUUAAUUUUAUAACAAAUGUAUUUAAUUUUUCUAAAGAAUGCACUUAUUUUUCUAAGGGAUCUAGUUGUAUGGCAUAAGAUGUCCUCUCAAGCAGAGGUGGAGGUACUAUAGAUUUUGUAAUAGGCACAAUGAUUACUAAGGUGGUAUGUGAUGGAGGGAUUGGCAUAAAAGCCUGAAGUAAGGGUGUGUCUAAUAAUAUAAAUGGCUCGAGUAAGUAAAGAGCAAAUGGUGUGGAAAUUCAAGUAGGGAAGAAAGGGUUGGUAUGGAUUCAUCGGGGGAAGGAAAUGUAGGUUCCAUGAUACAGAUGCCUGAAGUAAGGGAAGAGUAGAUAAUGUGUAAGCCCUAAGUGGGGGUUGUUGAUGCCAGGUUAACUAAGGAUGGAAUCCCUUGGUUGUGGUAGCAAAAAGGUUCUGUCCAAAAGUCGGAGACUAGGCUUUCGCCUUCCCUGCACAAAGAUGUCCUGACACACUCUCCAAAACCUAAGUCAGACUUUGAAGUGGGUAGGAACCCUUAGAGAGAGAGAGAGAAGAUGAGAAAGUCCUUAGUAUUGCGUACUUGGGUUCUGGUUCCAGGAGGGUUUUUAUAGUGUCUAGGAUGGAGUCACUAUUGUGUUGAGUUAACAUCUUGACUUUUGCCGUCAGAUGGCAUCACAGUGGAUGGUAGGGUAAUCAUCACCAUUUAGGCGGCUGGCAGGGGUUUCUAGUGGGUACGUUAUGAUGGUUUACCUGUCACCUCAACCUAUUGGAGGUAUGGGGCAGUGUGUGAUAGUCGUUUGAUAUGAACGUGGAGACAAGGUAAGAUCCCAUCACCCAUACUUUUGUUAGAAAAAAAUGAUUUCCUGCAGCAAGGAAAUAGAGCAACCAGCCGGAAUGCACUGACAAUUUAAGGGAGCCUAGUAUUGCCGAUUGCUGGCAUGUAUAGUCCAGACUAGGACCUUCGAGUUUGAUGAUGAUCGUCCGAACAACAUUGAGAUGAGCGCCAUGUGGGCCAGUAGUGGUCUACCACGUGGGGGAAGAUCUCCACAGGGGUGACAAGGUUGGAAUGAAGGUAUUAUGGAAGAUGAAAUAUAAGUCUAUGACAGCUUUGAUUUGGUCUGGACUUCUAUUCCCUUUUGUGUGACCAUGAAUCCCAGGAAUUUGCCUGCGCUGACCUCAAAGGCACAUUUGGCCGGGAUCAACUUCCUAUUGUAAUUUCUCAUUAAGCGAAAGGUCUCUUCUAAAUGUUGGGCAUGUUUUGACCUGGUUUUGCUUUUUACCACAAUGUCAUCAAUGUAUACUUCCACUAUGUGGCCGACUAGUGGCUUAAAGAUCUUCUUCAUCAGCCUUUGGUAGGUGGCUCCCGCGUUCUUGAGCCCAAACGACAUGACUUUAUAGUAGUACAAUUCGUGAGGCAUUACAAAGGCGGGUUUUUUUUUCAUCCGACUAGAACAUCGAAAUCUGAUGAUAGCCAAAGAAAGCAUCUAUGAAAGAAAACAUCGUGUGUCCAGCAGUAGACUCGAAUAUCUGAUCUAUCCGGGGUAACGAAAAACUAUCUUUUGGACAUGCGUCAUUCAGGUUGGUAUAAUCAACACAAACUCGUCAUUUACCUCCAUUUUUUUGGGACCACCAUCACGUUUUCCAGCCAUUCCAGAUACUCUACUUCCCUUAUAAACCCAUCCGUGACCAACUUCUCUAUUUUACGUUGGAUAAUCUUCUGUCUAUCCGGAUGGAAGCAUCGGACUUUCUGUCGAACACGUCACGAGGAAGGCAUAACAUUGAGCUUGUGAGAGGCUACCGAUGGAUGGAUUCCGGGCAUAUCAGAAUAAGUCCAUGCAAAAACUUCUUUAUUCUGUUGAAACACUCCUUGGACUGCUUUAAGCUCUUUAAGUGCUGGUAAGGAGCUGACAUAGGUAACACGGUAGUUAUCCUGAGAGAGAACCAACGGUAGGAGUGGGUCAGCCGCCGACGGAUCUCUUUCUGUCGGGCUCUGUAAUUGCUAUUGUUCCUCCGUGUCAGUUCGUUUCGUAAGUGGCUUAAAAACACUUAUGGAUCCGGAUUCUUGCGCCACUUGAUGACAUUGUCGUGCUGCUAGCUGGCUUCCAAAGAGGUUGAUCGGUGCCUUCUCGAUUAAAUAGCUCACCAUUUGGUGAUACAUAGAGGGGAUGACCUUCAUACUGUGCAGCCAUGUGCGCCCCAUGAUGGCAUUGAAAAUGGACAAGUCUUCCACUACUAAGAAUUGCACAUUCUAGACCAUUGACUCGACUUGGACGAGUAGCACAAUGUCUCCUAGAGAAAUUGUUGAGGCCCCAUUGAAACCUGAUAGUACAUGUCCGGGAUUCUCUAAGGUGGAUGAAGAGAAUCCCAUCUGUUUGAACGCGAACAUCUAUAACAGGUCAUCCGAAUUGCCCGGAUCAACUAAAAUCCAUCUUACGUCAAAAUCAUUGAUCCCCAACAUCAGGAUGAGGGCAUCUUCAUACGAUUGUAACACUCGGUUGGGGUCCAUUGGAGGGAAGGUGAUUACCCCAUUUAUUAGGCACGUGUCCUCAUCGGGCAAGCCAGGUUGGAUGGAGCUAACCUGCUUUCUUACAGAGGCUGGUUGAAGUAAUCUUUGCCUCUUCUGUUUAGAGUUGUAUUUUUCAUCAAUGGAUACCCAAUGAAUGUAGUUGAUUAUGGCUCUAGGAGUUGCUGAAGUUGUGAGGGUCGUGGUGGCUGGACUUCAGGUUCCAUCCCCACGUCUCCCAUUUGAGUGGACGUACUAUUUCAGAUGGCCAACUCUUAUUAAUUUUUCCAGUAAGUAGUCGAGGCUUCUGCAUUGUUAUGUGGUGUGACCAUGGUCUUUAUGGUAAGCGCAAUUUCUAUUCUGAUCCCAUUUCACCGGAUCUGUCUUAAUUGGCUCGGGCCAUUUGAAAUUGGACAAAUCCUUGAUCAUGGGGAGGAGUUUGUUGUAUGAGAUAUUGAGGGGAGUGAGACUAGCUUGGGUUGCCUGUUGUCCAUCCUACCACUUACCAGUUUGUAUGCAUUGUUUGCAGGCUUAGAGCUCUCGACUGAGUUGUUCCUAGCAUUUUGAUUGGUGACCAGGACCUAUUGGGUAGCUGUGUGGACAUCGUUUCAAGCAUGGAGUACUUGUUUGCUCGUUUGAACAAAUCGUCCAUCGUUGCUGGAGGUUUUUUGGCAACAGAUUCAAAAAAGGGUGUACCCGGGCAGAUGCUUCUUUUGAAAAUUUGAAGGACGAUGUCUAUGCUACAAGGUUCUACUUGAAGCACAACAUGUCCGAACCUCUUUACAAACUCUCUCAAUAACUCAUUCUCCUGCAUCUUUAUGAUUUGCAAAGUACUGAUGUUCUGCUUAUGCCGUGCUAAGCACAGAUACUGUCCCACAAAGGCCUCCAACAAAUUCUGAAAAUUAUUCACGGAAUUCAUCAGAAGGCGAUGGAACCAUGAAAGAGACUAGCCAUGGAGGUUAGCUUGGAAGACCUUGCACAACAACGCAUCAUUCCCUAUGUCAAGGGUCAUGAGUUGCCUAUAAUGCAUGAUGUGGUCAAAUGGAUCGUUGGUUCCAUCGUAGGUAGAGAAUUUUGGAACCAUGAACCCUCUUGGAGAGUUGUAGUUGAUGAUGUAAGGGUUGAAAGGUGUGGAGAGCAUGUCAUUCGGUCGCCUACUGACAGAGCAGGGGGAACCCUUGUUGACCGGAUCCCCCACUAGUUGUUGUGCUAGUAGAUGGAUAAGCGAGUCUUUUAUAUCUAGUACAGCUGAGGGUCCAGGACAUGCCUCCUGAGCCGUCGCUACAUGCGGUUUCCCCUCCAUAUUGGGCAUCUAAGGCCCUAACCUUGCGAGCAUUGCAUCCGAUAGCUAGGACUUCUUAUCGUGUUUCCUUUUUGCUGAGAGACGAGUGGAGUCGAAGCUUUCAUCCUACGGUGCGUGACAAGCUGGUGGGGAUCGUUUCUUAGGCUGCAUUUCUUGUUCAUUAGAGGGGAACUCUGCAUACCCAGGAUAUGUCACCUCAUCGUUUUGCCUGGAGUUCGUUUGCUGACUUCUAGGUUGUAGGCUCCGAGGAGGGUCUGAUGAAGACACCUAAAUGCGCAACACUUCGUUCUCUUCCUUGAGUCUCCUCGUCUCAUGGAGCAGGGCUUGCAGUUAUCUCUUGUUCUCGUGCUAGUGUCUUUCCAUACUUUCGCACCAAUUGAAGUAGCCCUCGCUACCCAUGGCUGACGAUCGACUUUUAGAGGGUGUUGACAUCUUUAUUUCAUUCCCAUAGACGACGCCAAUGUUGACGCUAGGUCAACUAAGGAUGGAAUCCCUUGGUUGUGGCAGAAAAAAGGUUCUGUCCAAAUGCUGGAGACUGGGCUUUCGCCUUCCUUACACAAAGAUGUCCGGACAGGUUGUCCGAACACUCUUCGAAGCCUAAGUUAGAGUUUGAAGUGGGUAGGAACCCUUAGAGAGAGAGAGAGAGAGAAAAGAUGGGAAAGUCUUUAGUAUUGCAUACCUGGGUUCUGGUUCCAAAAGGGUUUUUAUAGUGUAUAGGAUGGAGUCACUGUUGUUCUGAGUUGGCAUCUUGGCUUUUGCCAUCAUGAUGGCAGCACAGUAGAUAGAUGGCAGGGUAAUCAUCACCAUUUAGGCAGUUGGUAGGGGUUGCUAGUGGGUACGUCAUGAUGGUUUGCCUAUCACCUCAACCUGUUGGAGGUAUGGGGCAGUGUGUGAUAGUCGUCUAAUAUGGACGUGGAGACAGGGUAAGAUCCCAUCGUUCAUACUUUUGUUAGAAGGAAAUGAUUGCUUGCAGUCGGGAGACAAAGUAACCAUCCGGAAUGCACUGGCAAUUUAAGGAAGCCUAGUACUACCGGUUGUUGGCAUGUAUAGUCUAGACGAGGACCUCUGAGUCUGAUGAUGAUCGUUCGAACAACAUUGAGAGGAGUGCCAUAUGGGUCAGUAGUGGUCUCCCAUGUGUGGGAAGGGUCCCAUAGGGGUGACAAGGUUGGUUGAAGGUAUCAUGGAGGAGGAAAUAUGAGUCCAAUGAUGUUGGUGACUCAACUCUUGUGUGGUUGGGAGGAGGGUGGUGUAGAUGAUAUGAAUCUCAUGUAAGGGUAAAAGAGGGAUAAGUCUAAUGAUAUAGAUGAUCGAAGCAAGAGAAGUACAAAUAACUACAAUUUUUAAUUUUUUUUAUUUAUCUUAAAGGAAAGAGAACAUUUUAUUUAAAAUUAAUAUACAAAAUCACAUGGUUGUAUCAUAUUUUAAUUUUUUUUUCAUUUAUCAUAUAACCAAUUUUUAAUUUAGUAUUUCUUUUCUAACUAUUUAAAAAUGUUAUUGAUAUAAAAAAUUUUAAAAGUCAAAAUUUAGUAUGAACUAAAAAAAAUUAAGUCCAAAUAAAAUUAGUAUUAAAUAUUUAAUACAAAUUUAUAUGAAAAAAUAGAUUUUCUUCUUUAUUUUUAUACACAAAAAUUUAAAAAUUUUAACUAAGCAAAGAUUUAGAACCAUAAUCAAGUUAAAACCAUAAGUAAAAAGCUAAAAUUAUCAUCAUAAAUUAUAAUUUUAACAUGAAAAAUUAAAAAUUAAAAAUAAUAUAAACAUAAAAAUAAUAUCAUAAAGAUAUUUUUACUUUAUUUAGAUGUACUAAAAUUUACAAAAUAAAUAAACAUUCUUUUAGCAUUUAUAUAUAUAUAAAAAAUCUAUCAGACAUAUCUUUUAUCUUAAAUCUCUAAAUAAUAAAAAUCUAAUUUUUAAAUCUUAACCCUACAUUGUGAAAUGUAUUUUUAUAAUUAAUAUUUUAAAUAAUCGAGCAUAUUAUUUGUAGGAUAGCAUUUGUCUUUUUAGUUCAUUUUAUAUUUAAUUUAUUCUCAUUAAUGAUUAUUAUAUAUUAUCAUUUUGUGUCUAAUGUGUUCAAAAAAUGAUUACAAUUAAUGAAUAUAAAAAGAUGAAUAAGUGAAAAGAAUAUGAAAUUAAAGAGCUUUCAUAGGAGAAAGUGUGUCCACUUGAUCAUAUUAAAAAAAAAAAGGUUGAAAUGAAAAGAUAUCAAACACUUCAAAUUAUGAUUUAUCAUACCACAUAUUAAAAUAAAAAAAAACAAUUCAUUUAGCUGUUAUUCAAUUGCAUAUUUUAGAAAUAAUUUUAUACGUUGUUUUUUGGGAUGAAUGACAUUUGAAAGUUGGAAUUCCUAAAAAAAAUAUACAUAUAUUUUUUUGAGUUAAUGUAUGUAAGCAUAAUUCUCCCAAAAACUGGUCAUGCUUCAUCAUAUUGUAUGUUUGUUUUUAUAAUGUGUGGUUAUUCAUCUUUAUAUUUGUGUAACGAAUUGAUAUUUUUAAAUUAAGAGUAUCAAUUGACAAGUAGAUGAAUCAAUUGAUUGGGCAUCUAAGAGACUUAUGUGUAGAAGACUAAAAUUAUAAAUGGGGAGUUAGAAAAUUUUCAUUUAUAUGAAGGUGUUACAACUUUUGUAAUCCUAUUAUUAUGAGAUUUAAUUUGUACAUAAAGUUUAUUAGUAAUGGAAGAAGAUGAAAAAGUAUAACCUAUGCAAUUACAUAAAUGCAUUCAAGUUGGUAAUCCACAAUUAUCCAUUAAUUUGUACAUAAUGUUUAUAAAUAAUGAGUAUAACUCCCAUAUAAUCUUUGAUGCAUGCAAAGACUAAGAGAUAUAAAUCUCUUUUAUAAGAUUAAGGUUCCAAGUCAUACUCUUAUUCUUAUGUCUUUUUGUUGUUUUACUUAGAACAACAUAUGACACAUAAGUGACUUGUCUACUAUAUGACAAUAAUGAGUUGAAGAUCUUAACCAAAACAAUUCAUAAGAUGACUUAGGCUCACUUCGAAAGUAUUAUCGAUAUCAUGGAUGAAGGUAAGAAUAUGGUCAUUAUUUUAUCAUUGCUUUAGCAUUUAUAUCUAUUAUGUUUUAUGCAUCCAAAAUUGAUUUUUCAAAAUAAUUAUUUUCACAUAAAGUUUAGUUAACACAUGCUUUUUUUUAAAAAAAAAAAAUUUAAAAGUUUAAAAAUAAAUUUGCACAAAUCACUUUUAAAUGUUUUUUUAUAGAAAAAAAUUAAAAUAUGAAAGAAUCACAUAUUUUUUCAACUUUGAAAAAUAGAACUAGUAAACAUAUUUAACAUUUAUAGAAAUAAAAAAUUUAUUAAUAUUUUAAAAAUAAAUAAAUAAAAGCAAUGGUGUAUACGAAUAAUACCUUAUUCACCCAAUUUAAUUAUCAUAUGCCCUAAGGACCAAAGUGCCUAACUAAAUUUUUGCUCAAGGUACAAUAAUGCUAAAAAAUCUUUAAUCAAAACAUGGAUCUCACUCUUACUUCUUCCCACCACUUUAAUUUUACCUAACCUCACCCGCAGAAGUUCGUUCAUGUCUUAACUUGAAUCAAGUAUAACUUGUUUGUCUAGUUUGAACCUCAUGUUGCUUAAGUCCCAAAAGGAUAAAAUUUCUUUCAGAAUAUAAUUAUGCACAAAAUCCUCAUUAGGGUUAGAGUUUGCUCCUUCAUUAAUUAUUUAUAAUGGUUUAGGGUCAUAAUAACAUACUUUAUUAUGUUAAAGCGAAGAAUGAUCAAGAGUCCAAGUACUAACAAAUGGCACUUAUGAACCAUAGGUUGAGGAAGUGGCUUGAGCCCAAGCUUGGGGCUUAGGUUAUUUUUUGUUUAGGCAAUACUUAAAUCCAAACUUAAGGGUGACAUUAGAAACAUAUUUCAAUCUCAUAUUUUAUCAUCUUAACUAUUGGACCUAAUUGCACUCAGCAUGGAACUUGUUUAUGCAUUUUGGGAAUCGCAUGCAUUUUAGUACCAAAAUAGCUAUGCAACUUUUUUUUCCACCUAAUUAAGUUCAAAAUUAAGGGGGUGUUUGGUAAAACUUAAUACAUUUUACUAAUGACUUAAAUUGACUUUAAGUUAAAUUAUAUUUAAGUUGUUAACUUAAAAUUUAUUAUUUAAUUCUUACUUUAAGUAUUAAGGUUGUUUAAUAAAAUUAACUUAAAACAUAUUUUAAAUUAUCAAAUUAACAUAUUUAUCAUCAUAAAUUAUAACUAGGGUAUGAAAGGUUGAGUAACAAUGGAGGUGGUGGAGUAGCAAAGGAAAUUGUGGAGGUAACUAGGACAAAGGAGGAUAAAAAAGUAACAUGAAGACAUAAAUUUCAAAAUAAGUUAAUUGUUUUUACUUAUUUCUUAAAAUUAUUUUUGGCUUUAAGUCACAUCAUUAAAUUAUUUUAGUAAAUAUACUUAAUAACCAAAAUUAAGUUAUUAAGUCACUUUAAGUUAUUAAGUUAAUUUACCAAACACCUACUAAUUUUCAAAUUCUAAGUUUAGCUUUGCUUUGUAGUGAAUGCAUUUAGGAUUAUCAAAGAGGUCAUCAAGGGUUUCAAACAUAUUCUAUUGCUCAACUUCUCUAAGAGGGACUUCAGAAGAGAAGAUCCCACAAUUCUAGUUUUGUAUUCGAUUAUAUGUAUCCUACCAUAUGGAGACGGUUCCUCAGCAUGCUGACUUAUUAUUAAGGGUUUCAUGUGAAUUACGUACGCAUAAUAUAACAUAUACAGUUGGAAGAUAUCUCGAGAUUCUGAUUUUAUAUCUGGCCCUCAAAAUUCCCUUGGCAUGCUGAUAUGUCAACUAUUGAAAAGCCUACAUGACUUGUAUAAUUUGAAAAUGACUUCAGUCAUGUGUAAAAAAUAAUAAGAGAUAAGUUUUGAUUAAGGCAGCGAAAAGUAAUUGUGGACUAAUUGUGGACUAACUACUGACUUGUACAAUUUGAAAAUGACUUCAGUCAUGUGUAAAAAAUAAUAAGAGAUAACAUUCAUACAUAGUUUUGAUUAAGGCAGCGAAAAGUAAUCACUGUCAGGUUGUGGACAUUCCACCUAGCUAUUGGAAAGUCUGCACCCAUUUUCUAUAUUCAUGAGCUUUUCUCCUGUUCGAAUUAGUUUUGAAGUUAUCUACAGACAUUAAUUGUGGACUAACUACAUGACUUGUACAAAUUGAAAAUGACUUCAGUCAUGUGUAAAAAAUAAUAAGAGAUAACAUUCAUUAAUUGUGGAUAAAUUGUCUAUAUGACUUUAAAGAAAAAAAGGUCAUAUAAAAACUGAUUGCCUUGUGGAUACGCCUACCAGUAGAUAGCUGAGAACAAGGUCUAACUCUCAACCUUUUGCACUGCCUCUACAAAGGAACACAAAAUUGAGAGAUUCAAAGGCAGCUAUGGUAUAAAUACUGUUUCAUAAAUUACUUUUCAAAUUUAAUUUGGUAGCAAAAAUAAAAAAUAUAAAAGCAUAAAAAAUUUCUUUCAUUCCCAAAAUUUUUGCAAAUAAAAUUUUAAAGUAAUAAAUUAAGACCUUGACUCUUUUCACAUCUUAUUCUCAUUUCUAAAAAAGCAAUGAUAGUAAUAAUCUUAUCUAUAAAUUUUAAAUGAUGUAAGAUCAUUGAAUUUUUAUUUUCUUUUAUCUUCUUGUUAUGUAAUUAUCAAACAUAUUUUUUUUAAGACAAGAAAAAAAUUAGACCAAACAAAUAUAUUUGAUAUUUAUAACAAUUGAAAACAUAAUUCGUAUUUUUCAUUUUAAAAAAUAAUAAAAGCAAAGGUGUAUCAAAACAAUACCUCAUUUGCUUAAUUAGUUAUCACAUUUCCUAAGUACAAAAGUAGGCAAGUAAAUUUUUGCUCAAGUUACAAUAGUGCUCAAAAUCCUUAUCCAAGACUUAGAUCCUAUUUCACAAUUGUUUUUUAAAAUAGUUUUUUUUCUUCCUUAAAACAAAAAAACAAGAAAAUAUGUUUGACAACUGGAAAAUAAGGUUGUGGACCCCGUAUUUCCCUCGAUGUGUUCCCAUUCAAUGGCGAAACUCGUUUUUUUUUAUUUAUUUGGUGAAAAAUCGAUUUUUAGAAAAAAGACUUGGAGUCGCCACUUAUUUUUGUUUUGUUUUUAAAGAGUAAACAAAAUAAGAAAGAAAGCUCUGAGUGUGACUCCUUAUUUUGGAAAAGGUGGUAUGUGAAAAACCAAAUAUGGACUCAGGGGUCAGAUUACUUUUCGGGAAGGUGCGGUAAAAACCGUAACACCCCUCUAAGUCCCUAAAAACAGGUCUCUACUAAUAAAAUGAAACAAGUGUGAAAAAAGAUUGAUCAAUUGUGGAUACCAUACAGUAAUCGAGAGUGUGAAAGCAAGACACGCGUGAUAACAAAUAAAUAAAUAAGCAUAAUCGAGUACGAAGCAUACCUUAAUCGCAAACCGAGAGCUAUUAUAAGAGACAAGAUUAAUGCACAAAUAUGGGAUAAUCACAUGCAUGUCAUAGAGUGAGGCAAGCCAAUCAAGUAUAACAAUCAAUCGAUCAAUGGAAAAUCUCAUAUGUUGGGCCCCACCAAAGCCCGAUUUAUCUUAGCAUAGAUUAACUCCAUAAAUUUCUUUAUUUGAAAUUAUAGAAUUAUUUAUGCUUAUUAAAAAUGUGAAAAUCAGAAAACUAUUAAAAAUCAAGGAGAAUUUAUGAAAAAUGUUUGUCGGAAAGAUAUGUGGCGACCAAUUUUAUUAAAAAUGGAAAAUAUUUAAAAUCAAGAAAAAAAGAAAAAGAAAAAAAGAAAAAAAAAGAAAUGAAUAAAAUAUAAGAAAAUAAAAAAUAAAAAAUAAGAAUGAAAAUAAAAAUAAUAAUAAUAAUAAACAAAUAAAAUAAAAGAUGCAUGACCAGUGGAAAGUGGUAGAGAUUGACUUAUUAGAAUUGGAUUUAUUUAAAACCAAGAGAGAAAAAUUGAAGAAUUAAAACCAUUUGAAAAACAAGAUUUUUUAUUUUUUUUUAUAAAAUUGAUUUUUGAAGGCGUGUAUGAAACUAUAGGAGAUGAGACACGUGUCUUAAGGAUGACCUAUCAAAGGUGGAUGCAAGGGGUCUUGUGCAGUACUGGUGGUCGAAUAUGGGAUACCAACAACUGAGAGGGCCCAGAUGACUACUGUGGGUCCGGAUGGUACAGAAUGUCUCUUUCCUUGUGGACCCCUGCAUCCCUUUCCAGCCUAAGUCAACCCCCGAAGCUAUCCAAUUCAGCCAUUUGGGUCCGAAAAUCCUCCUUAGUUUUGAUGUUGAUAUCACCAUCUUCUUCAACCUCAACUCUUCCAACAUCAGGUAAGCCAUAGCCAUGGCAGUGACCUACGGAUAAACGUUACCUCCCCACCCAUCCGGCACCAGAUUAAAGCCUGCAGAAUGCGGCUUCCCCUUCAGCCCUACUGACCGGAGCUCCGAGAGCCGCCUGAUCACUAUCCCAAGGCUCACAGCGUAGUAGUACCCGAUGAAGAUCUGUCACGGGCUCCACCGUUCCACCUCAUACCACGAUUUGCACACCACAAAUAUCACGUUUCGGUCCUUAUCGAUAGGAAUGAAAGAAAACACAUUCUCCAAAACCUCUUCCGGAAACGAGUACGCCAUUAAAAAUUUUUUCUUGGAGUCCCGAAUUCACAAACAAACCCUAAACCGGACUUUUCGAAGUCUCAAAUCUGAGAUGCCAUUAACAAGCUCAGUUGCAUAAUACAUCUUUCCGUUCAUUUCCCCAUUGGCUUUGUCCCUGAAGUAUUUGCAGCCCGACAGCUUGUAGGGGAACCUCACUGACAUAUCGUGUUCGGUCUUCUCACUCACCACGACAAGGCGAUAAAGAUAGAGUUGGAAAGGCGAAUCAAGAGGCAGCUUUAAGUGAUCGAUUUUAGAGAAAGAACCCGCUUCCUCCAUUCCCUCAUUGGAUGAAAUUUUGGAUAAUCGUUCACCAAUUCUAACUUUCAUCUUCACCAAGUCUCGAUGCUUCUUCUUUAAUAAGUGCAACGAAUCUGCAUGUCGGGAGACCAAAUUCUCACGACGCAUAAUAAAAGAAUUUGCACCCGCCGUUACCGAUCCUUCUCCUUUGAUACCAACUCAUCCAUAACUAUGUCAUUUAAUCACUUCUCCAUUUGACCAUCCAUUCCGAACAUGCCCAGAAAAUCAUUGCUACUUGUUAAGAUAUUAGGAAUGCUUUCCUUAUAUCAUUUUUUCCUUAUGUCAUUCAGUGUUAGGAUAUUAGGAAUGUUUAGAUAUUAGGAAAGUUAAGAUAUUAGGAAUAUUGACAUAUUAAGAAAAUUGAGAUAUUAAGAAUAUUGAGAUAUUAGGAAAGUUGAGAUAUUAGGAUAUUAGUUGUUAUUUCCUUAUAUUAUUCUUUCCUUGUAAUUCUUUCCCAUUCUUAGAAUGGUGAUUACCCUCUAUAUAUACUCUGUACAUGAACGAAUGAAAGUAUGAAUGAAAAACUACCAUUCAUCAAUUUGAAGAUGGUAUCAGAGCCAUGGAACUGAAAUCUUGGAUAUUUUGUUGGUAAGGCCAACCAUCGUCCCUCCUUUGCGAGAGAAAAAAGAAAAAAAUGAGUGAAAAAAAUACUAUUGUUUUUCAAUCUGAAGGUACUUUCAAUCCAGGAAUUAUUUUGAAUGAAUCAAACUAUGACGUUUGGUCACAACUCGUGGAGAUGCAUAUUGCCGAACGGGAAAAACUUUCCUACAUUCGAGGUAAGAUAAAUCUACCAAAAGAGUCAAAAGAUGGAUAUGAAAAAUGGUAUGCUGAGAAUCAAAAGGUGAAAAGAUGGUUGUUAAUGUCCAUGAGUCCAGAAAUUAUGAAGCAUUACUUACACUUACCCACCGCUCAAGAAAUUUGGAGUGCAUUAUCAAAGGCCUUCUAUGAUGGAAGUGAUGAAUUACAAGUUUUCACUUUGAAUCAAAAAGCCUUCACUGCCAAACAAAACAGCAGGUCUCUUUUUGAAUAUUAUGGGGAGUUAACUGAAAUUUUUUGCGAAUUGGAUCAUUGGGAUAAGGUAGUCAUGAAAGACCCUGAGGACAUUGCAGCAUACCGGAAAUCCAUUGAACGACAACGGGUGCACAUCUUUCUUGCUGGAUUUGGUGGUGACUUUGAGCAAGUUCGAGGAGAGAUUCUACGCAAAGAUCCUCUUCCCGAUUUGGAAGAAUGCUAUGCAUUGAUUCGACGAGAGGCAGUGCGUCAUGCUAGUAUGAAAGCAGAAUCUGACAACCCUGACACCUCAGCUAUGGUAGUCCGACAACAAUCAACCCGAAAUUGGCAGGACCAAUCCAAGACCAACUAUCCUAAGACAAACCCUAAUAUUGAUAAGUCAACCUUCAAAUGCACUCACUACAAUAAGGCUGGUCAUACCAAGAGUCGUUGCUUUGAAAUUGUGGGAUAUCCAGACUAGUGGGAUCACAAUCGUGAUCAAUGGAAGAAGGAUUCCAAGAAAACCUCAACUGCAGCUGUUGCUAAAAUAAAAACAGAGGCUAAUGUUGAUGAGAAAGCCUCUGCAUUGGUAGCCGCUACAGAUUAUGGUGGUAAGUUUUUAAAUACUUCUACACAUGUCAUUAAUAGUGCAUGGAUAAUUGAUUCUGGUGCUAUAGAUCAUAUGACUUUUGAUUCUAGACAAGUCUCACCCCUUAGACCUUCCUCACAAAAAAUUGUUUACACAGCCAAUGGUAACAUAACCCCAGUCAUUGGGGAAGGAUCCUUAACUCUUACUGAUACUUUGAAUUUGGAUUCUAUUUUAGUUGUUCCAUCCUUAAAUUACAAUCUUUUGUCAGUUUAUCAAAUCACUGCAGCCUUAUCUUGUAUUAUCAUUUUUUGGCCUGAAUGUUGUGUUUUUAAGGACAUCCAAACAAGACAGACGAUUGGUUGUGGUAUUAAGCGGGGAAAACUCUAUUAUUUGGACUUGCAGUAAAAGGAUUCAAAUAAGUUGUGACAAACCUUGAUGGCAGAUGGAUCUGAGGGGGAGAAGAAAAAGUCUGAAAUUUGGUUGUGGCAUCGACAUCUAGGAUAUGCUUCCUUUGGUUAUUUAAAAAAAUUGUUUCCUAGUUUGUUUGCAAAGAGUGAUAUUUUUGGUUUCGGUUGUGAUAUUUUUGAAUUGGCUAAAAGCCAUCGUGCUUCGUUUCCAUUAAUUUUGAAUAAAAGUCCGUCUCCUUUUAUGGUUAUACAUUCUGAUGUUUGGGGCCCAUCCAAAGUCCCAACUUUGAGUGGUUCGCGUUGGUUUGUUACUUUUAUUGAUGAUUGUACCAGAAUGACAUGGUUAUGCUUGAUGAAGACCAAAGAUGAAGUGAACUUGUUGUUUCAAAAUUUUCAUAAAAUGAUUUAAACUCAGUACAAUGCAAAGGUUCGGGUUCUGCGUAGUGAUAAUGGUGGAGAAUAUCAGAGUUUUGAUCUUCAAAAGUAUUUGGAAGGACAUGGCAGCAUUCAUCAAACUACUUGUUCCAAUACACCCCAGCAAAAUGGAGUCGCUGAACGAGAAAAUCGGCAGUUGUUAGAGGUUGUUCAUGCUUCCUUGAUAGCAGCAAAAAUACUGAUAUCUUAUUGGGGAGAAGCAAUCAGAUCUACCGCAUACUUGAUCAAUCGGGUACCUUCUAGCUCAAUUAACUUCCAAACACCUUUCCAAGCUCUUACUAAUGCCAUAGUUGCCCCAACCAUCCCAAAUCUACCUCCUCAUGUUUUUAGUUACGUUGCAUUUGUGCAUCUACACAAACACCAACGCACCAAGUUAACUUCUCAUGCAUUGCAAUGUGUGUUUGUUGGAUAUGCAUUGCACAAAAAGGGAUAUUGAUGUUACCAUCCUCCAACUCGACAAAUGUUUAUUACAAUGGAUGUGGUGUUUCAUGAAGAUUCGAUGUAUUUUUCAUCUAAGUCUGAACUUCAGGGGGAGUACCAUAAGGAAAUUCAGACUCUCAAUUAUGAUUAUCAUAUCUCUGAGGAUGAGGAAUCUGGAAAUCUGAACUAGUGAACAAGGAAGCGGGUGAGUUGGAUAUGAGUGGUCAACAAUUUGGGUCCGAAGAUGUUUUCACUGAAAUACCAAACCAAUCGUCGUCUGUUGAGGGUGUUCUUAAUUUGGAACCCGAUCCAUUCAUGAAACGGUUACCACACCAUCAUAAUAAAGGUAUUCCUAAACCCACAUAUGAACCUGAAUUGUCUACCAAAGUCAAAUAUCCCAUGAGCAACUAUGUGUCUAACCAUCGUUUGUCAGAAUCAAAUAAGUCAUUUGUAAAUCAAUUAUCUACUGUAGCAUAUUCCUAACAGUNNNNNNNNNNNNNNNNNNNNNNNNNNNNNNNNNNNNNNNNNNNNNNNNNNNNNNNNNNNNNNNNNNNNNNNNNNNNNNNNNNNNNNNNNNNNNNNNNNNNGCAACCAAUUCGAUUGUUUUGUGAAAAUAAAGCCGCAUGUGACAUUGCUAAUAAUCUAGUACAACAUGAUCGUACAAAGCAUGUCGAGGUGGAUAGAUUCUUUAUUAAGGAAAAGUUGGAUGACAAGAUUGUGGAAUUGCCUAAGAUUCGAUCAGAAGAUCAAUUGGCCGAUAUCCUCACCAAAGCUGUCUCAAGUCAAGUAUUCUAAAAAAUUUUAGACAAGUUGGGCAUGUGUGACAUCUAUGCACCAACUUGAGGGGGAGUGUUGAGAUAUUAGGAAUGCUUUCCUUAUAUCAUUCUUUCCUUAUGUCAUUCAGUGUUGGGAUAUUAGGAAUGUUUAGAUAUUAGGAAAGUUGAGAUAUUAGGAAUAUUGAGAUAUUAGGAAAGUUGAGAUAUUAGGAUAUUAGUUGUUAUUUCCUUAUAUUAUUCUUUCCUUGUAUCAUUAUUUCUCAUUCUUAGAAUGGUGAUUACCCUCUAUAUAUACUCUGUACAUGAAAAAAUGAAAGUAUGAAUGAAAAACUACCAUUCAUCAAUUUGAAGACUACUUCAUGUUCAACACUUUAAAAAAAAUGACGAUGUCAGGUGUGGUGUUGAAUACAGGAUGAAAAUGAGGAGCACGAUGGUGAGAUAAGUGGAUUGACGGGCAUUAAAAAGAAUGGUGACAUGUAUGGGUAUGGAAAAUGUGGAUCAUGAGUGGUUGAAGGAAAUGGUGAAAACGGUGGGAAAGAUAAAGUUGUGUGCAUAGUAAGGGUGUUGGCUGCUUGCAGUGGGUAAGAUUGAUGAAGAAAAUGGGCAUGAUGAGUAGGAGGUGCAGAGCAAUGAAGAUGACCUUGCAUAGGGGAAAAAGUGUGGUGGAGAAAUGGGAAGAAUGAAAACAGGUAGUGAGAGAAACAGAAAUGAAAGGUGAUCAUGCAUGCAUGAGGAUAGAUGGGUAGCGAAGGAAGUGGGUUUACAGGGUGCUGAAAGAAAUGGGUGUGUAGGUUGAAUGGAAGGUGGAGAUGUGGGGCGUGGUGACGGGUAUGAUUGACGGGCUCGGUGGGUAUGAGAAGAAGGAAGAUUGGAUAAUAGGAGAAAUGGGUAUGGAAGAUGGCCAUGUUUGCAUGAUUCCCAUGCAUGUGUGGAGCUUCAGGCGUGCACGUGAGAAAUGAUAGAAAUGAGGUAAAGGUUGGUUGGAUGAAUGAUGAGGGNNNNNNNNNNNNNNNNNNNNNNNNNNNNNNNNNNNNNNNNNNNNNNNNNNNNNNNNNNNNNNNNNNNNNNNNNNNNNNNNNNNNNNNNNNNNNNNNNNNNNNNNNNNNNNNNNNNNNNNNNNNNNNNNNNNNNNNNNNNNNNNNNNNNNNNNNNNNNNNNNNNNNNNNNNNNNNNNNNNNNNNNNNNNNNNNNNNNNNNNNNNNNNNNNNNNNNNAUGGUAUAGGAGAAACGAGCAUGGGGUUGGUAAGAUGGGUUAGUGUGGCCAUGUAUGGCCAUGCAAAGGUGGGAAGCAAUGAGAUUGAGAAGAGUGAAAACGGGUAGAGAGAAAAAUGGGUAUGAAAGAUGAGUAUGUGAGGAUUGAAAAUGGAAUGAGGUGUGAAAGUUUUAGAAACUAGGUUUCAGAAAACCAAUAUUUCUCAUUGUCUAUUACGAAAAGAUGAUAAGUGCUUGUACACUGAUGUUUUUUAUAUUUAUAUCUACAACAACCUAACUAACUAACUUCCUACUUCAAGACGUUCUUAACCAGCUUUUGUUUGUUGCAGUUGACCCUGGUUUGUUGCAGCUGAUCUCGGUUUGUUGUAGCUGACCCUGGACAGUUACUUUCUUGUUGAUUAGCUAGGUAUUGUCUAUCAUCCCCCCGCAAGCUCAUAGGGGAGGGAACAACAGAAAGCUUCGUUCUAAAACUAAGGAACUGGGAGCUUGAAAUAUUUUUAGUGAAAAUGUCAGCAACCUAUUCAGAGGAAGGAAGAUACUGAAUGAUGAGCUGUUUACGAAGAACGUGAUCCCAUAUAAAGUGAAGAUCCAUUUCAAUGUGUUUGGUCCUAGCAUAGAACAUGGGAUUUGCAGCCAAGUGAGCUGCACUUUUAUUAUCACACCAAAGUAGAGGUGGAGAGGAGGAAAGAGACAAAGUUCCUAUAAAACAUAUUGAAUCCAAAUAAUCUCCGAAGUAGCAGACGUAAGAGCACGAUACUCAGAUUCUGCACUGCUGCGAGACACAACCUUUUGUUUCUUGGAAGACCAUGACACUAAAUUCGGACCAAGGAAGAUGCCAUAGCCACCAGUGCUUCUUUGUCAUCUGAACAAGAUGCCCAGUCGACAUCAGUAUAUCCAUGAAUAUCCAACGAGGUGGACUACUGCAUUUGAAUGACAUAGGAUAAAGUGCCUUUGAGAUAUCGCAAAAUCCGUUUCACAGAAAGUUAGUGAGUAGUAGUGGGCGUAGCCAUGAAUUGACAAGCUUUAUUAACGACAAAAGAAAUGUCCAGUCUGGUAAGGAUAAGAUACUAAAGCGCACCAACCGUGUUGCGAUAUAAGGCGGCAUCCGAGAGAGGUUCACCAUUAAGAUGAGAUAACAUUUGUCCUAACAAUCCCGGAGUAGUAGCAGGGUUGGGGUCUAACAUGGCUAUGCGAGUUAAAAGGUCUUGUAUGUACUUGUGCUGACUGAGAUGAAACAUAGUACCAUAACGAACGACUUCAAUGCCCAGAAAAUAAUUGACAUAGCCCAGGUCACGAAGAGCAAAAGAAGAAUUGAGUUGAGUAAUAAAUGAGGAAACCUAAGCUGAAUUGCUACCAGUUACUAGUAUGUCGUCUACAUAAAUGAGUAAAAUAAGGACAUCAUGUGUUGAAUGAUGAAUAAAUAUCGAGCUGUCAGCUCGAGAAGCUUGAAAUCCCCAGCCAAGAAGUGAAGUGUUGAGUUUGGUAUACUAUGCCCGGGGGGCCUGCUUAAGGCCAUAUAAAGCCUUGUUAAGCUUGCAAACAUGAGAAGGAAAUUGAGAAUUGAUAAAGCUUGGGGGUUGAUGCAUAAACACAUGCUCUUCAAGAUCUCCAUGGAGAAAGGCAUUCUAAACAUCAAGUUGGUGAACUGACCAUUUAAAUGAGAGUGCAACUGCAAGUAUAAUACGGAUAGUAGAAGCCUUGACAACUGGACUAAAAGUCUCAAAAUAAUCGAGAACCAGAGUUUAAGUAAAUCCUUGUGCAACUAUCCGGGCCUUAUAACGAUCAACUGUUCCAUCGGGUUUAUAUUUGAGUUUGUAGACCCAUUUGCAACCAAUUAUAUUGCCAUUGGAGGGUGGUGGAACAAGAUGCCAUGUGAUGUUUCUUUGGAGAGAAAAAAACUCUUUUUCCAUGGCAAGAACCCAAUUUGAAUCUUUAACAGCCUAUGUGAAUGUAGUAGGUUCAGAAAUGUGAGAUGAGAAGUAGGCCUUCUUCUUGCUAAUGCCAUUCUUUGCAUGUGUGACCAUGGGAUGCUGAUUAGUAGGGUGAGGUUCAAAAGUGGAGAUGUUAGCAAAAGGAACUUGUAUCAGGUUUGGUAAAGAAGUAGUGGAGGAAGGCAUAUUAGUUAAUGGUGGGCUUGAAGUGGAAGGAGUUGUAUGGGAAGGUAGUGAGGACAUGGGAGGAGAUGAGCAAGGAAGAAGGGCUGGAGUGGGGAAAAUAACUACAUAUGAGAUUGAUCCAGAGUAGACUGAAAUGGGAACACCGUUUCAUGAAACACAACAUGCCUAGUAACAUAGAGACGGACUGACAAGGGGUCAAGACACAUAUAGCCUUUGUGAUCGAAACUAUAGCCAAGGAAGACGCAUUGAUUGGAGCGAUAGGAGAGUUUAUUUUUGUUGUAUGGUCGAAUAUAAGGGUAGCAUAAGCAACCGAAAAUUUUAAAGAUGUGAUAAUUUGGUGAUUUGAUAAAAAGAAUUUGAAAAUGAGAUUGAUAAUUGAGAACCUUAGUAGGUAGCUGAUUUAUAAGGAAAAUAGUUGUAUGAAAUGCAUAUAGCCAAAACUUGAAAGGUAAUGAUGCGGUGGCUAAUAAAGCAAGACCAAUUUCAAUUAUAUGUCGUAAUUUGCGCUUUGCUCGACCAUUCUGUUCAGGUGUGUAUGGACAAGAAAACUGACUUUUAAUACCAUGCAUAGCAAGAUAUGAAGAGAAGGCUUUAAAUUCACCACAAUAAUCAGACUGUAAACAUUGUAUCCGAGAAUUAAACUGAUUUUCAACUAGACUUUUGAACUUUAUGAAUACAGAUAAUGCUUGAUCUUUGUUGUGCAAUGGAUAAAUCCAAGAGAAACGAGAGAAAUCAUCAACAAACAAAAUGAAGUAGCGUGCACCAGUUGUGGACGGAAUGGAAGCAAGGCCCCAAAGAUCAGCAUGAAGUAAAGCUAAAGGAUGAGAAGCUCUAGAAACAGACACAUUGAAAGGCAAUUUAUGACUUUUUGCAAAUUGACAAGCACAAUAGACGUUGUUUUUAUGGCAUUUAUGUGAAAUAUUACAAGAGGUAAGAAUGUGUAAAGAGAUUUGCAUCCCCUCAAGUGUUGAGGUGAGAUUCAUUGGAAGGACACGAGAUGCUACAUCAUGGAUGUAGAAUGCAAUGUAAGCAAGCAUUGGAGAGUAAGUCUUAAGGUAAUGUUUUGCAAGUAAAUCUACUUAUUACAUUAGCAUAUAAUGGAAUAUAGAUUUAAAGUCUCUAACCUAACUCAUUGGUUUUUUUUUUUUUUUUUUUUUUUAUCUCUACACAUUGUGAGAAGGUUUUCUACAUAAAAAACUCUUUUUCAAUCUUAUGUUUGAUUGUUUUUUAGGCUUCUCUAAUUUAGAAUUGAGAUAGUUUAAUAAUUAAAUAUAUUUAAUUUAAGGCUUAAAAGGGUUAAACACCUAUUCACCCCUAGGUGUCAUACUAUAUCAAAUAACUUUCAAUGUUGGUGAAGUUUCUUCUUCAAAAGAGCUUUAACACGUGAUUGUUCUUCAAGGGAGCUUCCAAAGAGCUCAAGGGGCCUUUUUCUUAUCCAAUGUUUUAAUCUCACUCUCAACCAAUGGUAAAAGAAUAAACUUAAUCAUUAAAGAUUAAAGCUAACCAUGAAAGUAUCCAACUCACCUCGACAUAUGUUUUGGAUUUUUUUCAAGAAAGAAUGCAAGAGAGAUGAUUGAGAUGCUUCUAAGAGGAGAGUGUGAGGACAUAUAAAGGACAUUUUGUGCAAGUAAAGAAUCAUUUAUUUUCCAAGGAGAUAUACUUGCUUCUUCACUGAACUGGGAAUGGAUUUAAAUAGCUCCAUUGGGAAUGUAAAUGAAUAAAUAAAAGAAAAGAAAAAUGUGUCCAACAAUUUAUUGAAACCGUAAAGUGGAAGUAAUACAAGACCAUAAUGGGAAAUCCCACAUAUGUAGUAGUAUUUGGGCUUUGUAGUAUUGAAACUUUGGUAUAAGAAAUUUGAAAAUACUUCUAUAUAAUUAUUUUUUUUAAAAAAGUAGAAUAAGUUAGUCCUUUCGACAUAAUUGAGGCAUUAAAUUUUAAGCACUCUAAAAUUAUAAUCUUUACAAAUAAUAAAGAAGUUUUUGUAUCGAGACCAACUGAAUAUGAUUUGUAUGUUCUUAAUUUUCAUUUUCUUAUCUUUUGUCUUCCUAUACCUACAAGCCUAUUUAGAGAAAGACCUUUUAUCAAAAAAUGAGAGCUUAGAGUUAUUUCCCUCUGAAAAGAGAGUGGAUCAGAAGAUCUUUAUUGAAUAUAGGGUUUCUUCUAAAAUGAGAUGAAGUAAAUUAGCAACUCUGAACAAUCUAAAGGAAAAGGAAUUUGAGUUAAGUUGAUGGGGCGUAUGACACUUUAUUGGGACUUUAAAAGAUAUUUUCUCUUUCACGCUAUCCUUUGAAAUUGAGUUGUGUCCGCUUUCAACUUAAUUUUUUUCUCUCUGUUUUUCUAAUGAAAAUAUAUCUUUUGUUGGGGGAAAUAUUUUGUUGAAUAUAUAUAUUCAAAUGGAAGGUAAACGAAAAAAAAGUGAUAAAAAAUGGGUGUGAUGAAAUUUCAAAUUAUUAAUCAUCAUAUGUAUUUAACCUAAAUCCUAAAAAAGUGAAUGAAAUUAACUCAUUAAAUUUGUUAAAUACCACUUUUUAUAAAUAAAUUUUGAAUCAUGUAGCAUUCAAAACAAAAAUUUUGUAAAAGAUAUAAUUAACGAUAACAUGAAAUUAUUAAAAUAUUUAAAAUUAAAUAAUAUAAAGAAACAAUAAAAUGGUUCAUUUAUGUUGUUAGAACCUUUGUUUUAAAAACUGGUCGCUCCGAUCAGUCGGAUGGUCCAUCAAUGCCCUUUCCAGUCCGAUCUAGGGAAAUGGACAUAGACAACUGACAAUCAGACCAUCAACCAUUCUUCAUGGACCGGUCAAGGUCAAAACCUAAAUGGGUUUGCCCAAAUCCAUUCAUUCCUAACCUAUGUGCUUGUUCCCAAGGUUUGCAAGUAUAAAUACCCAUCUAUUGGCCUAAAUUCAUUCAUUUCAAGCCCAUUUGCUUGUUCUCAAGGUCUACAGGUAUAAAUACCCUAUAAGUGGUUUAUAGAUUUCCGAUGUGGGAUGAGUUUUGAUAAUAAUGAAAGGAGCUUUGCAUGGUAGGGAAUUGAACCUAGGACUUAUUUUUAACAAAAUGAUAGCACACCACUAUGCUACAAAGCUAUUUGAUUAAUAAUUUGAUAAAUAUCUAUAUCUCUGUUUUUUAAUUUCUAUCAUAUAAAACAUUUAAACAAAUAUAAAUAUUUAUAUCUACUAUUACUUUUAUAAUAAUUAUUAAUUAUAAACAUGAAAAUAAUAUAAAUUAAUCAAUAUAAUAAUUUUUAAAAUUUUAAAAUAACAAAAUACAUAGAUAUAUAAUUAAAUUAAAUAUUAUAAUUUUCUUUUCAUAUUUAAAUAUUAUACAGAUUCUAUUUAAUAAAAUUUAAUAUAUUAAUACAUUUAUAUUUAUAUUUAUCAUUUAAUUUGACAUAUUGAACAUAAAAAAUAAAAUAUUAUUAAAAAAAUUUAAUAAAAUAUAUUUUAAUUUAUUAUAAUUUUAUUAAAAUAUAAAUUAUAUAUUUAUAAUGUCAUUGAUUCGAUCGCGGUUUGACCAUUGGUUCAACUAGUGAAUCGUGAACUAGUAACUUUUUCGGUUCAAUAUUCGGUCCGAUUUUGAAAACAUUAGUUAAAACUUUUUUAUUUAUAGAAAAUGCUAAUUAUGCUUUAAAGUUGUAGGAUGUUAAAAGCCCAAAUACAUACCUACAUAUUUUCUUAUUUAUCUCCUAGUAUCUUUACCAAGUGAUAGAUAUAUUGGUGGCCAAGCAUUGUCAUCAUCAUUAUUUAUCUCCUAACAUCUUUAUGAAGUGAUUGGUGUAGGAAGAGUGUAAAUAAUUUUUAUUUUUACUUUAUUUUAUUCAAUUAGUUUUAUAUUUUCUGGGAAGAUUCCUAUUGGGAAUUAUUUUUAUUUUAUUUUAUUCUAUUAGUCUUAUAUUUUUGGGAAGAGUCCUAUUGGGAUUGUGCUAGUGGAGUCCCAUUCCUUUUAUAAGUAGAAUCCCCUUCCACUUUGAGUCAUGUUUUGAUUACAAGUAGAUUCCCAUUAGGACUGUGUUAGUGGCCUAUAAAAGCAGGUCACCUUUCACUCUCUAUAUACCAAUACCAAUUUUUCAAAGAAUUUUUCAUAGAGUUUUUCAAAGAGUCUUUUCAUACAUCUAUCUAGAUGAUUUUUUUCAAAAACCCGAGUUGUAUACAUCUCGCUUACAGAGUGCACCCAAGGCGAGAUCUGGGUGUUGAAUCCCGGAGAUAGACCAUUGGUACCUUAGUGUACCGAAUUUGUCUUCGAGGAGGGUGGAUCUAUUUCAAGGAUAGUGUUUGUCAUGCCUCAGUCAAUAAGUUUUUCUUAUUAAUUAUGUUCUUUGUUUGUGUCUUUUGGGCUAGUCAUUUGUUUCCAUACCCUUAAUCCAACAAUCUUGAAAUAUAUCCAAAUGUAAGCUUCUCUAGUUCACACCUGUCCUGACACCUCUAAAAUUGAUCCCUUCAAUGGCAUAUUCUUUAAGAGAUGGCAACAAAAGGUUUUAUCUGCAAUUGAUGUAGUGAACUUGGAACACAUUUUGAUUGACCCAAUACCAGAAGAUGGUUAUCAUUUGUUACCAACCUGGGAAUCCGGAAAUAAACAAGUUAGCAUGCUAUUCUAAGUACCCUUUCUAAUGAACUUUUUGAUAUUUAUUGUCAAUUUAAAGUUGCAAAAGAAAUUUGGGAUGCAAUAAAUAAAAAAUAUAGUUUGAAAAAUGCAGGAACUCAGAAAUAUGCCAUAGGGAAUUUUAAAAUUUUCCAAAUGACUGAGGAUAGAGAUGUAUCAUCUCAAAUCCAUGACUACCACUUGUUGAUUAAUGACUUAGCUAUUGAAGACAUUAAAUUACCCGAACCUUUUGUAGCUGGUUAUUUAGUAGAGACUUUUCUAGAGUCUUGGAAAAACUAUAAAAAUAACAUGAAACAUAAAAGGAAACAAAUGUCUCUAGAGGAUGUCAUAAUCCAUAUUAAGAUUGAGGAACAAAACCGAAAUAGGGACAAUGCUGAGAAAGUUAAGGAAUUGUCUUCUAAGGCUAAUGUAGUAGAAGAAAAACCUAAACCCAAAAACAAUAGGUUCAGGAAACAAAACUCUAGGAACAUCCCAUGCAUCAAACAAGAUCCAAAACCCAACUAUUAAAAAAAAAAGAAAAAAGAGUAAGGAUCUUGUUUGACUUUAAUAAAAUAGUUUUAACCAAGAAUGAUGCAUUUGUGGGGAAGGGCUAUUGUAAUAAGGGUUUAUUUAUGUUGAAUGUUUCUAAUAUUAUCAAUAAUAAUGCAUCUUCUUCUUUUUCUGCUUACGUAGUUGAUUCUUGUGAUAUUUGGCAUGGUAGACUAGGACAUGUGAACUUUUCAUAUCUGAAGAAAAUGGUUGAAUUGAGUUUAAUCCCUAAAUUGUCCUUAGAAAACCAUGGAAAAUGUGAAUCUUGUGUAGAAUCUAAAACCACAAAGAAAUCUUGUAAAUCAGUUAAAAGAGAAUCAGAUCUACUAAGUUUAAUACACAGUGACUUAGAAAACCUAAAAAAUACAAUGACUAGAGGUGGUAAACAAUUCUACAUAACUUUCAUAGAUGACUACUCAAGGUAUACAAGGGUAUAUUUUUUGAGAAACAAAGAUGAAGCAAGAUAUGCUUUCAUCAAGUACAAAAAUGAAGUGGAAAAUCAACUAAGUAAGAAAAUUAAAAGACUUAGAACUGAUAGGGGAAGAGAGUAUGAGUCCAACCCCUUUAAUUCUUUUUGUGAAGAUCAUGAGAUCAUUCACAAAACUACUCCUUCUUAUUCCCUUGAGUCUAAUGGAGUAGCAAAAAGGAAAAAUAGGACCUUAAAAGAAAUGAUGAAUGCAAUGUUGGUAAGUUCAGGAGCACCCUUGAAUUUGGGGGGGGGGGGGGGGGGGGGGNNNNNNNNNNNNNNNNNNNNNNNNNNNNNNNNNNNNNNNNNNNNNNNNNNNNNNNNNNNNNNNNNNNNNNNNNNNNNNNNNNNNNNNNNNNNNNNNNNNNAUAUUCAAUAUAGAAUACCUUAUAAGAAAACUGGAAAAACUCCUUAUGAGUUGUGGAAGGGUUAUGUACCUAAUAUAGCAUACCUGAAAGUGUGGGGGUGUUUAGCUAAAGUUCUUUUCCCUAAACCUAAAAAAUGAAAACUAGGUCCUAAAACCUUUGAUGCAAUGUUCAUUGGCUAUGUUGAGAAUAGUGCGACAUAUAGGUUUCUUGUUACUAAGUCAGAAAACAGUCUUGUAGAUGUCAAUACUAUAAUGGAAACAAGGAGUGCAGAUUUCUUUGAAAACAUCUUUCCUAUGAAACUAAAUGGUGAACAACAAGUUUAGAAAACAAGUAGAGACAAGUCUAUUGAACUUUCUGAAUUUGAACCUAGAAGGAGUCAAAGUGAUAGGAAAGAAACAAACCUUGGAGAUGGUUUCUACACCUUCCUAAUAGAUGAGGACCUUGAUCCUAUAAAGAAGCUACAACUUUUCCUGAUGCACCAUUCUGGAAUGAGGCCAUUAAUAAUGAAAUCGAAUCAAUCAUGUAUAACCAUACAUGGGAGUUAGUAGAUUUACCUCCUGGUGCAAAGACUGUUGGCUGUAAGUGGAUCUUUAAAAGAAAGUUAAAACAUGAUGGGUCCAUAGAGAAGUAUAGAGCUCAUUUAGUUGCCAAAGGCUUUAAACAAAGGAAGGAUGUAGAUUACUUUGACAACUUUGCCCCUGUGACUAGAAUAACAUCAAGUAGAGUAUUGAUCGCUUUAGCUUCCAUUCAUAAUUUGGUUAUACACCAAAUGGAUGUCAAGACUAUAUUCUUGAAUGGGGAUUUGGAAGAGGAAAUUUAUAUGGAACAACCUGAGGGUCGUGUAGUUCCAAGGAAGAAGAAAAAGGUGUGUAAGUUGGUUAAAUCACUAUAUGGGUUAAAACAAGCUCCCAAACAGUGGCGCAACAAGUUUGAUCAUGUGUUAGUAACUAAUGGAUAUUCCAUUAAUGAUGUUGAUAAGUGUAUCUAUAGUAAGUAUGAGGAUAACACAUGUGUAGUCAUCUACCUUUAUGUUGAUGACAUGUUGAUCUUUGGAACUAGCUUAGAGGUGGUGUGUGAGACCAAGAAAUUCCUAGGUCCUAUGUUUGAUAUGAAAGACCUAGAAAAGGCAAAGGUGAUUCUAGGAAUUAAAAUAACUAGACCACUAAUGAGCUUAAACUUUCUCAAGAGCACUAUGUUGAAAAAAUCCUAAGGAAGUUUGAACACUUUUAUUGUAAACUAGUGUCAACUCCUUAUGAUCCCAUCUCACUGCUGAAGAAAAAUAGAGAACAUAGUGUUGCCAAAUAGAACAUGCUCAGAUCAUAGGGAGCCUAAUGUACUUUAUGAACUAUACCAGACCUGACAUUGCUUAUGCAGUAGGUAGAUUGAGUCGAUACACCCAAAGUCCUAAUCAGGACCAUUGGACUUUUGUUCGUAGAGUCCUUAAGUAUUUGAGAGGCACUAUUAACUAUGGUUUGUGCUUUGUGGAUUUCCAAGUGUCCUUGAAGGAUUUAGUGAUGCAAAUUGGAUCUCAGAUUCAGAUGUGAUGAAAUCCACUAAUGGAUAUGUUUUCAUCUUUGGUGGAAGUAUAGUUUCUUGGAAGUCUACCAAUCAAACUUGCAUUACUCGGUGUACUAUGGAGGCUAAGUUUAUUGUCUUAGAAAAUGCAAGUUUUGAGGCUGAGUGGCUUAGAAACCUCUUAGCAUAUAUCCCUUUAUGGACAAGACCAACCCUAUCUGUGUCUAUGCGUUGUGAUAGCCAAGCUACAAUUGCUAAGGCUAAGAGUAAAAAUAUUUAAUGGGAAUAAUAGGCAUAUACGGCUAAGGCACAAUAUUGUGCGGUAGCUUCUUGAAACAGAGGUUAUAUCCCUAGAAUUUGUGAGGUCAGAGUUGAAUUUGGUUGAUCCUUUUACCAAACCACUAAAUAAGAAACUAGUAGAAGAAACAUCAAGGGGGAUGAGGCUUAUGCCUAUUACAGAAUUCAAGAGUGGUGGUAACCCAACCUAUUAGAAUGGAAAUUCCAUGAAGUAGGUUCAUAUGGGUAAUAACAAAUCACUUGUUGACUUGAGGUGCUAUAUCAACUCUAAUUGUAUGAGAGUCUAUCCAUAUGGUGUAGAUAGAUUGUAUUCUAUAUUGAUUAAGGUUGAGUGUUUACUCUUAAUGAAUACCAUAUUCCUUAUGGAUGGUAUGUUUAAAUGCAUAACAUACUUGAUGGAUUCACCUAUAUGAGAGUGGAGGUGGGGCCCCUUCCUAUGAGAACUUAGGUAGUUUCUCUAAAACUCUCAUGAAUAUCCAGGUAGGGCGCAUGGCCUAUUUGUGCCAACCUGUUUUGUACAACUCGUAGUGUAGUUGAGAAAACCAAUGUAGAUAAAAGUCCAUUGAGUUACAUCAAGAAACAUUGGUUCAUAGAAAUUUAUUUUCACCCUAUUUUGUGAUUCAAUACUUAUUUGUCCUAAGACUAGUUCAUAGCCUUUGGGCACCAGUACUGAUGCAUUGGAUUAUUUUUUCCUCAAAUAAAUAAAUAAUCACGUUUACACUUUGUGGGGGAUUGUAGGAAAAGUGUAAAUAAUUUUUAUUUUUAUUUUAUUUUAUUUUAUUAGUCUUAUAUUUUUGGGAAAAGUCCUAUUGGGAUUGUACUAGUGGAGUCCCAUUCCUUUUAUAAGUAGAAUCCCCUUCCACUCUGAGUCAUGUUCUGAUUACAAGUAGAUUCUCAUUGGGACUGUGUUAGUGUCCUAUAAAAGCAGGUCACCCCUCACUCUUUAUAUAUCAAUACCAUUUUUCCAGAGAAUUUUUUAGAGAGUUUUUCAAAUAUUCUUUUCAUACAUCUAUCUAGAAGAAUUUUUUCAAAACCCCGAGUUGUACACAUCUCGCAUACAGAGUGCACCCAAGGCAAGAUCUCGGUGUUGAAUCCUAGAGGUAGACCACUGGUACCCUAGUGCACCGAAUUCGUCUUUGAGGAGGGUGGAUCUAUUUUAAGGACAGUGUUUGUCACGCCUCAGCCGAUAAGUUUUUCUUCUUAUUAAUUAUGUUCUUUGUUUGUCUUUGGGGCUAGUAAUUUGUUUCCAUACCCUUAAUCCAACAAUAGGUAUAUGGGUGGCCCAAUCAUCAUCAUCAUUAUCAUCAUCUUUAAGAAGUGUAAGAUAAAUUUCCACAAUAUUAUAACUAUUCAAGCUAUACACUACAAUCUAACAUAUUACAUUAAAAAAAAAAAAAUCAUAAGUAGCUAGAUUCAAGAGGUAGUGUAAAACAUACCAUGUUUUAACCAAGUGUAGCUUCCAAUUCUUAUGUAAAAGUCUAUUUAUUACAAGAAAUUAAAAAAGGAAAAGGAUUAAAAUCUUAAAAACAUGGCAAUAAUAAAACCUUAGCAAAUAUCUAUUUGAAACUAUGUCAAAAUUUGCCUCAAAUUAACUUUUGAAUUAACUUUACUAUUAUUAUUGUUGGUGCAUAACCUUUUCGGAUGUGAUGAUCUAGUGACUAUCCAAGUCGCUAGCCAAUCUUCUAAUGUCACCUCCUCUGUUGGUGGAUGUCUUGGCUCUCUAGGAAAAUGAUCCCAUUUUUUCCAUGUUCUUUUUCCUCCUUUAUAGGCUUGAGUUAGAUGUUGGAGGUUGCGUGACAUACACGAUUAGCUUAGUAGGUUUGUGUCAGGCGGCGUGUGGCCAACUAGCCCUAAUGCUUCCUAUUGAUGUGAUAAGAUGAGGUUUUCCUUUGAGAUUUCUUCAUCAUACACAUCUUGUUGUUGCCUUCAGUAUUUGUGCUACGUGAUCAAUUUUGGUGGUGCGACAACUUCUUCCUAGUGACCAAUUUUUAAUUUUUCUAAGAUCGAUUGGGGUAGGCUCUCAUAUCAUUGUCUCAGAUCAUUGUAGGUUUAAAUGGAGUUAUGAUGGCUUCUCAACCUCAAGAUAAUAUUCAACUGAUAUAACAUCAGGGUACCCCUUCUCGCAAAAAUUCGGCACCCUCGAGAGGCAGCUUUUGUAGCAAUAUUCGUCAUCCCCAACCUAAACAAGUAGGUAGACCCACAAGUUGGUUGACUUCUAUAGUUGGUACCUUUAAUGCCCCAUUUCUUCGCGACCAAGUAGAUUUGGGACGACGUGCGUCGAGAGCUACUUGGGUUUGAAACCUCUGUGUUGCGGUCCUAGGAAGAUGGUAGGUCAUACAUGCAUCACCUUGAGGAGUGGCAACACUAGGGGAUUUUCACAAGACGGCACAACGUGCACAACCAUUUUUUGAUUUUUCUUUGGGAAUUUUGCUUUGUUUAGGAACUUUGCUAAAAUGGGCACUUAACCUUGAUGAACAUUUUUCCUAGAUGGACACUCAGCCUUGGUGGGCAUUUCGCCUAGAUGGGCGCUUGGCCUUGAUGGACAUUUUGCCUGGAUAGGCACUUGGCCUUGAUAGGUAUUUGCCUAGAUGGGCAUGUCACCUUGUUGGGCACUUGGCCUUGAUAGACAUAUCAUCUAGAUGGGUGUUUUGCCUUGAUGGGCACUUGGCUCUGAUGAGCAUUUUGCCUAGAUGGGUAUUUUGCCUUCUUUGAUAUUUCGUAGGUUGGAACUCUAUAGGUUGUAGGGUUGUGUUUUGGGUUCUAUUUUCCAGGCACACAUGUGUAGGGGUAGGGAAAUGCUGCCUUUCCGCCUGGUUUUAGCUCCAGAUGUGCUUAUUGCCAUGCCACAAUUUUUUUCUCGGGACUUGAGUAUGCUUGUAAGUAUUGUUUUGCUUCUUCUUGUUGUGUUUAAGGGUAAGUUGAGUUUUUUUUCGUACUCUUACAUUUUCUCUCCAUCUUUCUUUGUCUUUAUUCUGUUGUGCAGAUGAAGUGUUGCAUCAAGGAUUUUAGUAGGUGAAAGGGUGAGUUUCACUACCACAUUGCUGAAACUGACUAACUGAGGCAAGUCGGGUACUUCUUUUGCACCUAAGGCUUUUGGUCGAGUGCUUCUUGGAACCUAAGGCUAUGGUCGGGUGCUGUUUAGCACCUAAGGCUUUUUGGUUGAGUGCUUCUUUGGCACUUAAGACUUUGUUGGGUACUAUGCUUGGUUGGGUACUACUUGGGCACCCUAGGCUUUGUUGGGCACUAGGCCCAGUUGGAUGCCACUUGGGCACCUUAGGCUUUAUUGGGCUUUAAGCCUGGUUGGGUGCUACUUGGGCACCUUAGGCUUUGUUGGGCACUAGGCCUAGCCAGGUGCUACUUGGGCACCCUAGGCUUUAUUGGGCUCUAAGGUUGGUCGGGUGCUACUUGGGCACCUUAGGCUUUGUUGUGCUCUAGGCCCAGCUAGGUGCCACUUUAGCACCUUAGGCUUUAUUGGGCUCUAAGCCUGGUCAAGUGCUACUUGGGCACCUUAGGCUUUAUUGGGCAGCCUAGGCUUUAUUGGGCUCUAAGCUUGGUCGGGUGCUAUUGGGCACCUUAGGCUUUAUUGGGCUUUGAACUUGGCCAGGUGGUAAUUGGGCACCUUAGGCUUUGUUGGGCUUUAGGCCUGGGUGGGUGGUAAUUGGGCACCCUAGGCUUUAUUAGGCUUUAGCCUUGGGUGGGUGGUAAUUGGGCACCUUUGACUUUGUUAUGCUUUGGCCCUAGUUGGGUGGUAAUUGGGCACUUUAGGCUUUGUUAAGCUUUAGGCCUGGUUGGGUGGUAUUUAGACACCUUAGGCUUUUUGGGUUUAAUGGUUUUUCAUACCUAAAAGUUUUUUUUUUUUUUUUUUUUUUUUUUUUUUUUUUUUUUUUUUUNNNNNNNNNNNNNNNNNNNNNNNNNNNNNNNNNNNNNNNNNNNNNNNNNNNNNNNNNNNNNNNNNNNNNNNNNNNNNNNNNNNNNNNNNNNNNNNNNNNNUUGCUUCCCCAUUUGGGGAUCUUUGCUUUUAGAUGGAUUAGGCCAUUUGGUAAGACUGGGAAGUUCUUCUUUGGUAGUGUCACCAGCGCCUCUUUGUCCACUGAUAGCGUUUGGGCAGUUGCAUCGAGUCAGGCCACCAAGAUCUAGUUCUCCCUUUUGAUUCAUUUAACAGUUCUUCUUAGUUUGUCCAGCUACCUCGAUACUUUGUUAGCUACAAUUCAGUUGUUUGUUGUGGCCACUCAUAAGUUGUUGGGGUGACACACUCACCAUCAAUGUAGUUAGCUGCCAAUGUAGUCACCAUGGUUGGCUUUUGUUUCAUUCCCAUAGACAAUGCCAAUUGUUGGUGCACAACCUUUCUGGAUGUGAUGAUUUGGUGACUAUCUAGGUUGCUAGCCAAUCUUCUAUUGUCACCUCCUUUAUUGGUGGGUGUCUUGGUUCUCUAGGAAAAUGAUAUAUAUAUUUUUUUCUUGUUCUUCUUCCUCCUUUCUAGGCUAGAGUUAGACGUUGGAGGUUGUGUGGAGUACAUGAUUAGCUUGGCAGGUUUGUGUUAGGCAGUGUGUGGCCGACUAUCCCUGACGCUUCCUGUUGAUGUGACAAGAUUAUGUUUUCCUUAGAGAUUUGUUCCUCAUACAUGUCUUAUGGUUGCCUUUGGUAUUCAUGCCACAUGAUCCAUGUUGGCAGCCUAAAAACUUCUUCCCAGUGACCAAUUUUUUAGUUCUUCUAGGAUCAAUUGGGGUGGGCUCUCAGAUCACUGUAGGUUUAAACAAAGUCAGGAUGACUUCUCGAUCGGGAGACAAUAUUCAGCCGAUACAACAUCCGGGUACCCCUUCUCGGCAAAAUUCGGCACCCUUAGGAGGCAGCUUUUAUAGCGAAAUCUGCCACCCUCAACCCGAGUAAGCAGGUAAACCCACAGGUUGGUUGGCUUCUAUGGUUUGUACCUCCAAUUAUAAUGGAAGUAUAAAUUUUAAAAAGAUUCAGUGAUUGUAGGAUUCAAUUCUAAUGCUCUUAUAGUAGCCAAGGGUCCUCGAACUCAUGGUAGCACGCAGACAUGUCNNNNNNNNNNNNNNNNNNNNNNNNNNNNNNNNNNNNNNNNNNNNNNNNNNNNNNNNNNNNNNNNNNNNNNNNNNNNNNNNNNNNNNNNNNNNNNNNNNNNNNNNNNNNNNNNNNNNNNNNNNNNNNNNNNNNNNNNNNNNNNNNNNNNNNNNNNNNNNNNNNNNNNNNNNNNNNNNNNNNNNNNNNNNNNNNNNNNNNNNNNNNNNNNNNNNNNNNNNNNNNNNNNNNNNNNNNNNNNNNNNNNNNNNNNNNNNNNNNNNNNNNNNNNNNNNNNNNNNNNNNNNNNNNNNNNNNNNNNNNNNNNNNNNNNNNNNNNNNNNNNNNNNNNNNNNNNNNNNNNNNNNNNNNNNNNNNNNNNNNNNNNNNNNNNNNNNNNNNNNNNNNNNNNNNNNNNNNNNNNNNNNNNNNNNNNNNNNNNNNNNNNNNNNNNNNNNNNNNNNNNNNNNNNNNNNNNNNNNNNNNNNNNNNNNNNNNNNNNNNNNNNNNNNNNNNNNNNNNNNNNNNNNNNNNNNNNNNNNNNNNNNNNNNNNNNNNNNNNNNNNNNNNNNNNNNNNNNNNNNNNNNNNNNNNNNNNNNNNNNNNNNNNNNNNNNNNNNNNNNNNNNNNNNNNNNNNNNNNNNNNNNNNNNNNNNNNNNNNNNNNNNNNNNNNNNNNNNNNNNNNNNNNNNNNNNNNNNNNNNNNNNNNNNNNNNNNNNNNNNNNNNNNNNNNNNNNNNNNNNNNNNNNNNNNNNNNNNNNNNNNNNNNNNNNNNNNNNNNNNNNNNNNNNNNNNNNNNNUUCUAUCUAUGAAAAUAGUCAAGCCAAAAAUACAAAUUAUUCCCUCAUACAUUCUAUAGUUUUACCAUGUAUACGGAAUUUAAAUUAUUGUACUAGUGAGUAGAAAGUGAGUUAAGGUCUUCGACAACAAGGUCUCCAAGCAACCAUAUUUCCCCAUUUUAACCUCGCUACUGCCAUUGAUGCGGUAGUAGAGUAUAACUGGCACAUAUAGAUAUGUCGGAAGAGCAAUCGAGAGCAGAUAGCUUCAAAUUCUGAAUGUGAGGUUCAGUUGGAGACUGGUUUUAUUAGCCUUUUAGAUAUGAUUUGAACCUCUAUUUUAGACAAGAACUUGGAGCUUCUUAAUAUAUGUAGUACAACUCCUUUGGUCAUGUAUAUAUGUGCAUAUUGCCUUGAAUUCAUUCAAUAAUUCAGCCAUUGGGAUAGACAACAUACAAUUACUUGGCAACACAAUAUUAAAACUUUCAGAAUAUCACAAAAUUUGAUUGAUGUCAAAGACUCAUUCUGGACAUUUAGGAUAGGAGGUUACAAUAAAGCCAUUAACUGUACACAUAAGUUCAUUUGCAAGAAUUGGGAACCAAUUUAUAAGGUCAAGUAUAUUCGCUGUCAACAAGAAUGACGCCCUCCGAUUUAAGAUCUCUACUUAGGAGGAGCCCUGUUUGAUCAAGAUUCUAGGAUCAAGCAACAGAGUCAAAGUCAAAUCAAGAGCAACGUUCCAACUUGUCAUGAAGACCAAGAGUAGUAAUUGCUUCAGAGCAAGCAGUGAAAUUAUUUGCAAUCAGACAAUCAUCUUCUUCUUCAAGAAAUGCUGUAAUGAAAUUCUUACCAGUUGUGUCUGAUUCUUCAAAACACGAAGUUAGCAAACAGAUUGUUCAUAUAUAAUGUCAGUUGGCAUAAAUGUAGUGUUCAAUCACCAAGCCACAAAGAUGAUACAACCGAACAGUUGCAGCAGGAAAACUUGGUUGUUUAUUCAAAAUCAAGUAAAUCUCUAGGUCCCUCAUACCACGAUUGCUCCCAAUCUUUAGGUCUUGGCGUAGACAAUUCCUUCCUUGUCUAUGUGGACAGAACAAUGCUUGCUUUUCUAGCUGUUGUCUUUCACCAUGGUCUGUAGAAAAAAUGUCCAGAAAAACAACUAAUGAUCAGUAGAAGUGUAAAAGGGAAGAAAGAAAACUACUGAUAGAUUGGAUCAGUCAUCUUCUUCAUUAGAUCAUUACAAACAGUUGGCUUCGAAAAAUUUGAAGUUAAUCAACUUCAAUCAUGACAGAUAUUUAUUUUUCCUAAAAGAAUGUAAAUGUAUGGUUUCUCUUUGAGUACAGCUCUCUACAGCACAAAAAUAAACAAAUACUGUGGUCAAAGCUGUCAAUCAAAAUCCCGCUAUCCAGAAUGCAUGGCAAUGGCUGAUCCAAAUGGCCAUGUACUAGUACACUUACUAAGAUUUCCUUCAAGAAUCAUGUACAAGUGACCACCACUGUUCUCAGUGUCCAGAGGCAGUUUCCAUACUCAUCUCCUUCUCCAUGAGGCUCAUGUAGUUAUUGGAAGGAUUCAAUAAAUAAUCUCGAAACCCAUGAGCGUUUUUGGCCCAAAGAAAUUCAGCAUAUGACAUAAUUUUUUGUACAUAUAAGUUUAUGAAAUAACCAUGAUUACUAGAUGGGAAAAGUGUGUUUUCAUCCGCUGAUACGACUAUAUCAGUAAAAUGAGAACCAACUUUUCCUAUUUCAAAUUAAGUCACAUCAAAUUAAGCAGACUCUGAAAAAUACUGAUCUCCAUCUCAUAGUUUGUGAAUGGAUCAUAGACUGAAAAUGAAUUAUAUGUAAUCUACUUAAUUUACCAAAGGUAAUGAAAUCUAAUUUACAAUCAAAUUAAUUAAGACACUAAGAUACUAAUCACUACUAUACGUACAUAAAUCAUAUUACAUUUCUGUAACAUUACUUUUCUUCAAUACUUCCCCUGAUCAAGUUACAUAUCAAGAACUGAAAAAAUUGUAAGGCAAUCAAAUGAAACAAACCAAGAAAACAACAAUAUUAAAAGAGUUAUGAAAUAUCACCAGAUGAGAUCCAACAGUAAAUUAAGAAACUUUAUAUAAUCUUGCUUACCUUAGGGCCAUGUCUGGAGGAGUUCCAAUUGUAGGCCUAGGGCCAAUGUUGAUAGGCAGAUGCCCAGAUCUUAGACACCCUCAAGAUGAACAGUAGCAGCUACUCUAGGCGCUCCUACUGCACAGGCAAAAAACAAGUUAGUCAAUGUUUCUUGGCUAUUGGCUUUGGCUUGGACCUUGGUGGUUGUCAAUUUUAGAUAAAUAUGUUAAUAAUCCAAUGAAUAUAUUCCAAGAUUGAUGAUAUAUAUGCAAUAUAUCAAUUUGGAAAUGUCGAUAUAAACAUUUAAGGAAUUUAAAUUAGUCAAUUUUCAACAAUCUAGCACUCAAAAGUGUACAAAAUGAUUAUAACUUGAAAGUUUGAAUAUAAACUGAGGUACAAUAUUCCUAGAGGCUCAAGUCUCCCUAGAAGAAGGCAUCACAUCACAUAUUUAUGUGGCCUUAUGUUUGAGGUAAGCACCUUAUCUAUUGGCGAGUUCAUCAAUAAUAAGCUUUUUGCAAGAAAUUGGAGACCUAAAAUUACUCUAAUACUCCUUUUCUUGAAUAUUAAAUUUUCUUAAAAGUGUUAUCGAUUAUCAAACAUUUUUUUCAAUGGUGGAAACUAGUUUGCUACCAAAGUGAAGGUCAAAGUCCUAAUUAUCAUUUCGCUAAACAAUGUAAUAUAUUAUUAUACAAUUAUUGCUUUUAAAAGAAAAUUUACAAGCCAACCAGCAAAAUUUAUGAUUAUACCUUUUUCCGACUUCACUCACGCCAUUGAGCUUUAUAAUUUGAUGAAACAAGCCUAAAUCAAAAUUAUACAAAAAAAAAAAAAAAAGAAUCGGAGAAAACAAACUUGUAAGCACUAAAUUUUGUACUUGAAAAGAGGAAAUAGGAUGCCAAUUGUAGGUUUAAUUUAAAGAAACCUUAAAAAUAUUUUUAAAAUUAUAGGAAAACCCCUGUACCUUAGAAAGAUUGGGGCGAACAGUCUACCUUUUGGCGAUGUUCACAUCUUGAGAGGAAUGACUUCUUUCUUAGUAGAUCUGAUGAUGGUGUUGAUCUUUGGGAAGAGAUGAUUAGAAGGCUGCGUUGAAUUUUAGUGAGUGAGAGAGAAAAGAACACCCAAAACCCUAAAGCAAAAAAGGAAUUAAUAACUUAAAUAGAUUCCAUUUUUUCCUUAUGACGUGUCUACCUUAGUAAGGUUUUUAUGGCAGUGAUACCAUUUGGAUAAUUAAGUCAUUGAUUUUGAUGGAUCUUUUCCAUUUGAAUUUUUAAUAUAUAAACUUAAUCUUUUUACUUGGGGUAAUAUAUUUGGUAUUUUAUUAUUUACUUUUUAAUAAUAUGCUUUUAGUAGAUUGUUUAACUAUGUCCUAGUGUAAUAAGUAGUCUUGCAUUACAUUAUCUACUAUGGAGUAGGAGUGUGUUGCUUGUUCAAGGGAUGUAUGGGAAGUUGUUUAUUUGAUGAUAUACUUUAACACUUAGAGUCACGACUUGAGCUAAUAAGUUUAUCAAGAUCUAAGCAUUGAUGGUGUUGCUACUCUAUUGUAUAGCAAGGAUCCAAUUAGUCACAUUGUAGGACAAAACACUUAUAGACAAUUGAUUCUACUACAUUCAAGAUAUUGUUGCUUAAGGGGAGGUAGAGUCAAAACAAGUAGACAAUUGAUACAACUACACACACAACAUAGAGACAAAACACAUGAAUAAUACUAUGGUUGAAUAAAUUAAUUGGAUGACAUCAAGCUAACAUUGAUCUAGUAUAAUUAUUUUGGAGCCUAAAUGAGGAGUAUGAUGAUGAGAUGAUAAUUAUUUUGUCAUCAACAUAGUGAACAACAUAAAUUAAAAUCUUGAAAUGUCACCUUAGCCAACCUAGUAGAAAUGAUUCAUCAAAAUAUUUGAAUGUGAGAUCUUAAAUUGGUGUUUGACCAAUAAAUAUGGUAAUAAACAUAUAUUAAGUAUAUAUGAAGUGACCAAGCUAAGAUUUGUAUCAUGUUAUUGUAGGGAAUCCCGAAUCUCUUUGUUCCUUAUCCUAUGAUUAGGCUAGGUACAUGCGAUUCUUUCUAAGUUUUUCUAAAUCGUAUGAACAAUGGAAAAAUCGUGUUUUAAAAUAAUAACAAGAUUUAGAAUUUGCAUUAGAAAACAUUACAUUACAUUUGGAUGUUCCCAAAUCUAAUUCACGUAGUAAAGGAGAAGAUCGAAGUUGUCAGAGGUCUUGAACACCCAAGAUCUUCCACCAGAUGACUUUUCCUUGAUUUUAGAUCUUAAUUGGUGAGAAGGAAGGAAGACUAAAAAGGCUAUGGUUCUCUCUCUCUUUGAAUAGUGAAAGAUGGCUCACUUCAAAAAAGUAAUAAAAACCUUAUCAUUUAAGGGGUAUUUAUAGGGUUCCCUAAUUGGGUGUAAGUGACUUAAGCGUACUAAAGGCUUGAAUCAUUUAAUUUAGCUCAAAAUGAGUCUUAAUUGAUUAAUUAACCUAACAUAGUUAUCUAAUUAAUUAAUUAGCUAAAUCUGGAGACUUUGUUCACUUACCCCUAUGCAACCUUGCAUAAUUACCAAAACACCCUUAUACGCAAAAGUGAACUAAGAGUUGUGUCAUCAAGGUAUAUGAGCUUAGGUGGAGACCAUUGAGACCUAUAGGACAGUACUAGCUAUCCCAAAAUCUAAUUUUGAAGUUGAUUUAACAUUCCACUAUAGAGAAUCAAUUGCACUAUAAUACCUUAUGUAAAUAACAAUGAGAUGCUAAGUGGUCGAGCCCAUGACUUAUUAUCCAUUGCAUUCAGUCUCCCUAUGAACUGGUGUUUGUAGUCUAAUAAGGUGAAAACUAUCAACCUUUCAAGACUACUUCUACUAUCUUUGAAUUACAAAUCCUCUUAUUAUGUAUUUAAUUGAUAUAUCUUAACUCUCCAAGAGUCUAUGUUAAGUUCCAUUUAAGAAACUACUAUGACCAUAGUUUACAUGAACAUACCUCCUUAAGAUCACUUAAGGGGACACUCUGUCUCAAUCCUAUUAGAUUUCAUGGUACUUCUAUUACAAAUACUCAUUGUUACAGACUUGCAUCAAUAGUGAACCAAUCCAUAAGGAACAUAUGAUUAGCUUACGAUUUCAUUAGUAGGUCAAAGUCACUACUAACUUUAACACAAAAUCUAUAUUCUCUCAAGGUUAAGAGAUAAAACAAUGAAGCAACUUGGUGAAAUCAUGACUAUUUGAUACCUUUAUGUCAUGAUUCACCAUAAGUCUUGUCUAAUGUGUAACCAUACACACUAGUAUACUCACCAUGGAAAACCCAUCCUUAUAACCAAGACCACCCAUUCCUCUAAUUAUGAAGUAGCGUACUAUAACCUCUAAAGGGUUACCUAAGCCUAUGAAUUGGUUGUGAACAAGUCAUCUACUUACAAUGAAUCCAUUACUUAAAUUUUUUUUGCAACUCCUAAUGCACUCAAGUCAUGUACAAUACAAGAUAUGUAUAUCAAAAUGCUUACAAGGUAUAAUGUAUAGGAUUGGGAUAAACAAAAGUGAACUAAAAGUUAAUUAAUAAAUAAUAAAAUUUUAAAUUUAUUACAUCAUGUCAUGCUUUUAUGAAAUCUUUAAAAUAAUAAGAGCGCCCUUUCAUAAUCAUGAAUUAAACUUUAGUUUCAACUUCUAUCAAAGGCUAAAUGAGAAAAGCUAUCAUAGAGGAGGCCUCAGCCAAUGGGUAAGAUGCACUAUUAUACCAAACAAUAAGUGAAAAAUACAAUUUUAUUAAUACUUGAGACAAAAAAAAAAAGAAAAAAAGAAAUAAAAGGAUGAUUUUACACUCAAACCAAGCAUUUAUUUAUAAUGAAGUGCAGUCUCCAAACGCACAUGUGGACUUAUUGGAAAAUCAUACAAAUUAUUGAAGGACGACCUUAGCUAGGCUAACAGUCUCCUAAAUAGGCCAUCUUUUAUAUAUCUUUGCAUUCAUCCAUCUCCUCAUUGUCUUUGAUUUUAGAUGGUGAGGAUGUGAAAGUAACAGGAAGCAGUGGACGAUUGUUCACAGUGAGGCUUAGCACAUCAGCUCUCGAAUAAUGUCCUACCACAUCGAACUGGAACUUUGCUUUAGGAAUCUCUCCACGAACAUCUACAUAUCAAGUGAUCAUAAAAAUAUUUCAUCAGUCCAUGAUAAAUAUCAUAGAAUAUCAAGCCUUCGAUAAAACUAAGUUUGCAGUCCUCUUAAACCUAAAGAAUCGACUCAUUUGCCUUAUCUGCAUACUGAAAUAUUUGGAUAUAUAAUUGGAGAACUUAGGGCCAUACCAAGAUCAGCUGUGAAGAGGCCUUCUCCUUCAUAAUUCGGUCCUGCUAGAAUUUCGCCAUGGGGCGAAAUGAUGACACUACCUCCAGCCCAAACAAUAGAAUCUGGAGUGACAUCUUCUUCUGUAGGACUGUAAAGAUACUCAGGUGGAGGUGGGUAAUCUUUCCUCCGACAGAACUGGAUGGGUGAAAGAACAUAGCAUCCACCCUCAAUAGCGACGUGUCUCAUUGUAGCUACCCAUGUAUCCCCGGAAUCGGCAGUAGGAGCACAAUAUAUCUCAAUACCUAUAUAGAUGUACAUUCGUAUUUUGUGAUCAAUCAAUCCCAUAUCAAAGCCAUAAUGUAUUUCAAGCCAAAUCAUAUUAGUUAGUGAAGAAAAAGAAAUGGUAAAAGACAUACCUUUGCCAUACAUUGCUGUCCUGAAAAGUGGCAUUCUAUUUUCCCAACAAAUGACCGAACCAAGUUUUCCAUAUGGAGUGUCAUAAACUGGAGUUGUAGAGCAAUCUCCGAAACCCCAGAAGAGCCGCUCCCAAUAUGUUGGCAUGAGUUUCCUAUGUUUUCCAAGGUAAUUACCUUCAGGAUCAAAGAAGAGAACUGUGCAAUACAAUGUGUAUCCAUCUCUCUCAACAACACCUGUCACUAAGUAGACUUUGUAUUUCGCAGCCAUUGAUGCCAAUCUAUCCACUUCAGGUCCUGAAAAUACAUUAAUAUGAGAUCAAAGAUGAAACAUGUAAGCUGAUGGUUCAUCACAAAGCAUAAGUAUAAUUUUUUUCUUGGUUCAUUCAUCAAACGUGUCUUGUUUCAAUAACUAAUUAAGUGGUUCAGUUCUUUAGCUAUUUAAGGGAGAAAGAGAGAGAUAACUGACCCGGCACAUUAAUGGCAGAAGCAUGGUACUUGCGGAAACUUUCUUUCCCUCUUGGCGACUGGUCGGCGAAGUUGUAUCCCCGGGGAUACCCACCGAUAAAUGCUUCAGGAAACACAACCAGUUGGGAUCCUAGUGCAGCUGCUUCUUUCAAAAACCUCUCAGCCUUAUCUGCUCUCAAAAUCACAUUGCAAGAAUUAAUAAUCCACGACUUAGAAAGUAAAUUAAUUGGUUGAAUGGAGAGAAUGAAAAUUAACUUUAAGAGAUCCCGAAUGACUUUUUGGUUGCUGAGAAAACUCAAGGAAAAACAGACCUAGAUGAAACUUGAAACUCUCAUAUUUUCAGCUGUUUUGUAACUAAGAAAAGAGAAACCACCUCAACCCAACUCAUCAAAAUAAUUGUAAAAGCAGUAAUUCCUUGAUUGGCAGCUGAAAAUAUGAUCAGGGUUCAAUCAUCCUUUUCUUUUUUUCAGUCUCUGAGAAACCAAUUAGAUCACAUAUUCCAUUACACAAGUUGCACAAUUGAAAUUAAUGGUACGUUACCUAGAGUGGCAGGAGUAUCAUAAAAGAUACUAGAAGCUUGAACAACGGUGGCUCUGACAGUUGAAGACAUUGCAGAAAUCGUAUGCUUUUUCGUUUCCCUUUUGUUUGAGGAUGCCUUACACAAAGUUCAGUAUAUAUAUUGCCCAUGAACAUGAGGUUCCUCUGCCAUUACUUGAACGAGACGAAGAGGCUGUGAAAAGUCUGCCUUGGUUUUCUAUAUUCAUUAUGAGCUUUUCUCCUCAUCACAAAUUUUUAAGUUAUCCGCAGACAUUGUGGACCAGCGACAUGACUUGUACAAAUUGAAAAUGACUGUCAUCUGUGAAAAGUAAUUUAAGAUAAAAUUCAAUUCAUGGUUUGAUAGUUUUAGACAAACAAAACAAGUCUUUUUUGCCUUAGAAAAAGGCCUCAACCAAUUAACACACAUACCCAAAUUAUUAGGCUUUUAUUUUCAUUUCUUUUAUAUAUAUAAUGCACAAAGAUAAAUUGUCUUUAGUGUUAAAGCUGAGGCCUUUUAUGACCUCAGCCAUAAAAGAAAAAAAGAAUAGUCAUUAAAAGCACAAGAUAUUUGUCAUUUUUUUUUACAAAAACGACUGAGUCGUACAUAGUGUUAUAGUUUUAGACGCCCAAAAGAAGUCUUUUUGUGCCUUGUAAGAAAACCUCAGCCAAUUCAAGAUGAUCAUCUUUGAACGAAAAGAGGGAGCCGCCCACAUGCAUGGAUUCCAUCCAUGACGUGUACUAUAUAUCUAUAAAACCCAGCAUAUAGCUAAAAACUGGGUCUGACCUUAUGUAUUGGUCCCUACCAAAAAUUAAUGAGUGAUUCCGUCACCCCAGAAUGAAAGGGGUGAUCUCAUAGUUCUUGGUCUGUGAAGAUGCGUUGUUAGGUGCUCCAUUUUAUUUUCCCAUUGAGGCAGAACCUAAACGUUACUAACAUGUUUACUUUCAUUGUGGGUAAUGUGUUUGGGUUCAAAGGCAGCUAUGGUAGAAAAAUAAAAAGGAAGAACUAUGCUUACCCUCACGUUGAUUCAAGCAAAUAUAUUUUUUAGGAAUUCUAAUUUUCAUAUUUCACCCCAAACACAUAAUAAAUAAAUUUAUUCUUCAAAUAUGUAUUUUAAUAACAACCAAAAUGAGAAUUCUAUAGUUAUCCCUUUUAAAAUCUUUAAUAUGACAAGUCAUCAUUUGAUCUAUUUGAUAGCUCUCCCACUUUUUUUUUUUCUCCUCUUCAUCACUUUCUCCAUAUAAUGUCUUUGAUAUCCUUUCCAUAUCAUGUCUUUGAUAUCCUAACUUUGACAUUUUUUUAUUUAUAUACGCUGAAGUGAAUACACUUUCAUAUUUCUUUUCAUUCUUUUAAUAUUUUCAUAUUUAUUAACUUAGUCAUUUUUUUGAAACAUUAACAUAAAAUUAUAAUAUAUGAUCAAUAACUAAUGAGAACAAAUUAAACAUAAAUAUAAGUAUGGAAUGGAGAGAAAAUAAAAUUUUAUCCUACAAAUAAUACAUAAAUAGUUUAAAAUAUUAAUUAUAGUAAUAUAUUUGAUACUUUAGGGUUUAGAUUAAAAAAUUAUGUUUUAUUUUUUAGAGGCUAGGAUAUAGGAUUUCCAUUAACCAAAGAUUUUUUGUAUGAAUCCUAAAUAAAAUGUGUAUUUAUUUUGCAAAUUCUUAUCAUAUAUAAAUAAAAUAAAAUAAAUAUAUUUUUAUCAUAUUAUUUUUAAUUUUUAUUAUUUUGUGUCAAAAUCAUAGUCAAUGAUAUUGGUUUUUGUUAUGAUAUUAGCUCUUAAAAGGAUGUUAUGAUGUAAUAAAUAUGAAGUUUAUUAUUUAUUUAAUGGUAUUUUGAUUUCACUUUUAUUAAUCUUUAUUUCAUUCAUUUUACCUUAUGAGUAUUCUAGCCUGACAUUUCUUGCACUAUACAUAACUUGGGUGCAUUAAAAAUUGCAUGAAAGAUCCAAGUUAUAGGUUCCUUGCAAGUGAAUGAUUUGUUCACAACUGCUUUGUGAACUUAAGCAAUCCAUUUGAUGUUGUAGUUCACUAUCUCUUCAUUAGAGGAAUGAUUGAUCUUGACUAUCGAGAUAGAGUUCUCAUGGUGAGUACACUAGUAUGAUGAGUUAUGAUGUAAACUUGUUGGAUAGUCAUAACUUCACUAAGUUGUUAUAUUGUAUUGUUUUCUCAACCUUGAGAGAAUAUUGAACUUGUGCCAAAGUUUGUAAUUAUUUAACCUAUGGGUGAGAUCAUAAAGUGAUUAUAUAUUCCUUACGAAUUGGGACAUAGUAGAUAGAAGUCGGUAGUAAUAAGUAUUUUCAAUAGAGACAUCAUGAUAUCUCAUGGAAUUUGAGAUAGUGUUGGGUGAUAAUAAGGACAUGUAAUCAUGAAGUCUAUGGUUGCAUUAAUUCUUUAAAUGAAGUUUGAUAUAUGCUUUUGUGAGUUAGAGUAUGUUAGUUGAUCAUAUAAUAAGAGAAUAUGUAACUCAAGGAUGGUAUAGGUAAUAUUGAAAGGCAAAUAACUUUCACCUUAUUAGAUUAUAAACACCAAUUCAUGGGGAGACUAUAUGCAAUAGAUAGCAGGUCAUGAAGUUAAGCAUUUUGUGUCUUGUUGUAAUACACAUAGGGCAUUGAAAUGUAAUUGACUUUCUAUAGUAAGAUGUUGAGCCAACUUUAAAAUUGGAUUAUAAAGGAGCCAAUACUAUCUUAUGGGUCUUAGCAGUCCUCGCUCAAGUUCAUUUAUCUCAAUGACAUGGUUUGUGAGGGUUGGAUUGACUCAUGAUUCACUUAUGUGCAAAAAGGCAUUUUGGCAAGUAUGCAUGAAUGCAUAAGAGUUUGUUGGGAUAAAACCUUAUAAAUCAUGACAUGAUGUAAUAGAUUUAGUUUCAUUAAUAAAUAUAUUUAUUUACUAUUCUAGUUCCCUUAUAUUAUCCCAUUGGCAUUAAUUGGUUAUCAAAGUAUUUGCGUCCAUAUCACUUGCAUUGUACAUGACUUAGGUGUAUUAGGAGUUGAACAAAAAAUCCAAGUCAUGGGUUCUUUGCAAGGUGAUAAGUAGUUUAUAGUGGGUUCAUGGAUUUAAGCAAUUUAGUAGAGACUAUAGUGUACUACCUCCUAAUUGGAAAGAUGACUUGUCUUAGUCACCGAGAUGACUUUCCCAUGAUGAGUGAAACAAUGUGUAUGGUUACACAUUGGACAUGACCUAUGAUGAAUUAUGACAUUAAUUGUUGGGUAGUCAUGAUUUACCAUGAUACUAUAUUGUAUAAACUCUCAACCUUGAGAGGAUAUUGAGUUUGUGCUGAAAUCAAUAGGAAACUUUGAUCUAUGGGUGAGAUCCUUGUGUGGUCAUGUAUUCCUUACAAAUUGGGUCACGGUUGAUGAAGAUUGGUGGCAACAAGUAUUCUUAAUAGAGAUACCAUAAUAUCUUAUGAGAUUAAGACAACGUGUCUCUUGGGUGAUCCUAAAGACAUGUGAUUAAGAUGACUACAACCAUAACAAUCCCUUAGUAGAAUUUGACAUAUGCUCUUUGUAAGCUAGAAUAUGUCAAUUGAUCACUUAAUAGGAGGAUUUGUAACUCAAGGAUUGGAGAGAUAAUUUUGAAAGGUUGGCAUCAUUACCUUGUUAUAUUACAAACACCGGUUCAUGGGGAGUCUACAUGCAGUGGAUAGUAGGUCAUAGACCUAAACUUUGCCUUGUUGUAAUUAUAUAGCAUAUUAGAGUGUAGUUGACUCUCUUUAGUAGGGUGUUAAGUUAACCUUAGAAUUGGAUUCAAAGUGAGAUAGUAUUUUCCUAUAGGUUCCAAUGGUCCCUGCUCAAUCUGGUGUCACAUUUGUUUGAGGGAUUUUAGGUUUGUAGUUAACAAGUGUGCAUAAGGGGGAAUUUAAUAAAAAUACAAGGUUGGACUAGAUCUUGUGAAUAGACUUUCUAGAUUGGCAUAAUUUAUUAAUUGGAUUCUAAUAGGGCUAAUUAAUUAAUUAGGACCUAAGUGAGCUAAACCAGGUAACCUAAGCCCAAUUUGGGCUCAAGUCACUAAAGUUCACAAGGAAGCUUAUAAAUAACUAUUUAAAGCCCAUUGGGUUUUAUGAGUAACUUAAGCUUGCCUUGGGUUUGGGUAACUUAUUAUAACCUAAAAAGGUUCUUAAUUGAGGGCUUAGAUUAAUCAAUUAACUUAGUCUAAAAGUACAAUUCACCAAAUUUAUUGGAAACUUUGAAUUACUCCAUUUCAUGACCCAGGAUCAUAUAGGGUGCAUGCAACUAUCCUUACGCUUCUCUAGAUCUAAUGCAAUGGAAAAAUAUGGAUAUAAAAUCCAUAAAAUGUACUAGAUUUAUAGAUUAGAACUCAUACCUAUGAUUUGAAUGUUUCUAAAUUAAAUCCAAUCCCUAAAAGACAUCAAAGAUGUUUUAAAAGUCAUUUAUUGAACAAUUUUCCACCCAAUCUCUCCUUUCACAGAUAGACCCUAGCAUAAAAGAAGGGUAGGCUUAUGUCCCUUCUUUUUUAAGGUAGCUAGGGUUUGCUCAUUCUUUUAGGGCAUCAAACUCUUAGACUUUUACUUUUUCCAUUCUCUCCCACGUGUCUAGAGAGAAUCUAGUCCCCACUCUUCUAAAUAUCUAACAUUUGAGUUCGUAGCUUUAAUGAUGAGCCAUCAAAUAGAAAACCAAUAGGUUUGCAAGAUUUUCGAUGACCCCUACACAUUUGAUAACCUCCUUGACUGCAAAAAUUUGAUUUGGGAAUAUCUAGAUCUUGGUAAAUACUUCUAAUCUAUAGAUUUAGAUCUAAUUUCUAUUUUAAAGGUGAUUUUUUUUUCAUUGCUAGGGUCUAGAUAAGCCUAGGAAAGUUUGCAUGCACUUAACGAGAUCUAGGGAUAGGGAACUUAGUGAUCUAUGCUUUCUUGUAGUUGUAGCUUUUUGCUUUUAAUUUUAACUUGAGUGUACUUUUGGCUUUUUCUUGCUUAAGCUUUUAAUUUUUUUUGAAUGAUGUACAAUGCAUUUAUUUUUUUAGAGGAAUGUAUUUAUUUUUCUUAAUGAUGUACUUUCUUUUUUGAAGGAUAUACUUAAUUUUAUAACAAAUGUAUUUAAUUUUUUCUAAAGAAUGCACUUAUUUUUCUAAGGGAUCUAGUUGUAUGGCAUAAGAUGUCCUCUCAAGCAGAGGUGGAGGUACUAUAGAUUUUGUAAUAGGCACAAUGAUUGCUAAGGUGGUAUGUGAUGGAGGGACUAGUAUAAAAGCCUGAAGUAAGGGUGUGUCCAAUGAUAUAAAUGGCUCAAGUAAGUAAAGAGAAAAUGGUGUGGAAAUUCAAGUAGGGAAGAAAGGGUUGGUAUGGAUUCAUCGGGGGAAGGAAAUGUAGGUUCCAUGAUACAGAUACCUAAAGUAAGGGAAUAGUAGAUAAUGUGUAAGCCCUAAGUGGGGGUUGUUGAUGCUAGGUCAACUGAAGAUGGAAUCCCUUGGUCGUGGCAGCAAAAAGGUUCUGUCCAAAAGUUGGAGACUGGGCUUUCACCUUCCCUGCACAAAGAUGUCUGGACACACUCUCCAAAACCUAAGUCAGACUUUGAAGUGGGCAGGAACCCUUAGAGAUAGAGAGAGAGAGAAGAUGAGAAAGUCCUUAGUAUUGCGUACCUAGGUUCUGGUUCCAAGAGGGUUUUUAUAGUGUCUAGGAUGGAGUCACUAUUGUGCUGAGUUAACAUCUUGACUUUUGUCGUCAUGAUGGCAGCACAGUGGAUGGCAGGGUAAUCAUCACCAUUUAAGCGGUUGGCAGGGGUUGCUGUGGGUAUGUUAUGAUGGUUUGCCUGUCACCUCAACCUAUUGGAGGUAUGAGGCAGUGUGUGAUAGUCGUCUGAUAUGAACGUGGAGACAAGGUAAGAUCCCAUCCCCCAUACUUUUUUUAGAAAAAAAUGAUUUCCUGCAGCAGAGAGAUAGAGUAACCAUCCGGAAUGCGCUGGCAAUUUAAGGGAGCCUAGUACUGCCGGUUGGUAGCAUGUAUAGUCCAGACUAGGACCUUCGAGUCUGAUGAUGAUCGUCCGGACAACAUUGAGAUGAACACCACAUGGGCCAGUAGUGGUUUGCCACAUGGGGGAAGAUCUCCACAGGGGUGACAAGGUUGGAAUGAAGGUAUCAUGGAAGAGGAAAUAUGAGUCUCUGACAGCUUUGACUUAUUUCUUAAAAUGAAGAUAUAAAUUGUUUUUAACUUUAAGUUACAUCAUUAAGUUCUUUUAAUAAAUAUACUUUACUUAAUAACUAAAAUUAAGUUAUUAAGUCACUUUAAGUUAUUAAGUUAAUUUACCAAACGCCUACUAAUUUUCAAAUUCUAAGUUUAGCUUUGCUUUGUAGUGAAUGCAUUUAGGAUUAUCAAAGAGGUCAUCAAGGGUUUCAAACAUAUUCUAUUGCUCAACUUCUCAAAGAGGGACUUCAGAAGAGAAGAUUCCAUAAUUCUAGUUUUGUAUUCGAUUGUAUGUAUCCUACCACAUGGAGACGAUUCCUCAGCAUGCUGAUUUAUUAUUAAGUGCAUGUGAAUUACGUACGGAAUUCCAAUUGAUAUGAACAUAAAAUUAAUUGAAUUAUGUGACAUUUUUUUUACGCAUAAUAAAACAUAUACAGUUGGAAGAUAUCUCGAGAUUCUGAUUUUAUAUCUGGCCCUCAAAAUUCUAUUUCACUGUCAGGUUGUGGAGCAUAUCCCUUGGCAUGCUGAUAUGUCAACUAUUGAAAAAUCUGCAACCAUUUUCUAUAUUCAUGAGCUUUUCUCCUGUUCGAAUUAGUUUUGAAGUUAUCUACAGACAUUGAUUGUGGACUAACUACAUGACUUGUACAAAUUGAAAAUUACUUCAGUCAUGUGUAAAAAAUAAUAAGAGAUAACAUUCAUUAAUUGUGGAUAAAUUGUCUAUAUGACUUUAAAGAAAAAAAGGUCAUAAAAAAACUGAUUGCCUUGUGGAUACGCCUACCAGUAGAUAGCUGAGAACAAGGUCUAACUCUCAACCUUUUGUACUGCCUCUACAAAGGAACACAAAUUUGAGAGAUUCAAAGGCAGCUAUGGUAUAAAUACUGUUUCAUAAAUUACUUUUCAAAUUUAAUUUGGUAGCAAAAAUAAAAAAUAUAAAAGCUUAAAAAAUUUGUUUCAUUCCCAAAAUUUUUGCAAAUAAAAUUUUAAAUAAAUUAAGACCUUGACUCUUUUCACAUCUUAUUCUCAUUUCUAUCAAAGCAAUGAUAGUAAUAAUAUCUUAUGUAUAAAUUUUAAAUGAUGUAAGAUCAUUGAAUUUUUAUUUUCUUUUAACUUCUUGUUAUGUAGUUAUCAAACAUAUUUUUUUUUAAGACAAGAAAAAAAUUAGACCAAACAAAUAUAUUUGAUAUUUAUAACAAUUGAAAACAUAAUUCGUAUCAUUUUAAAAAAUAAUAAAAGCAAAGGUGUAUCAAAACAAUACCUCAUUUGCGUAAUUAGUUAUCACAUUUCCUAAGUACAAAAGUAGGCAAGUAAAUUUUUGCUCAAGUUACAAUAGUGCUCAAAAUCCUUACCCAAGACUUAGAUCCUAUUUCACUUUUUUUCUUCCUUAGAACAAAAAACAAGAAAAUGUGUUUGACAACCGGAAAAUAAGGUUGUGGACCCCGCAUUUUGCUUGAUGCGUUCCCACUCGAUGGUGAAACUCGUUUUUUUUAUUUAUUUGGUGAAAAAUCGAUUUUUAGAAAAAGACUUGAAGUCGCCACUUAUUUUUGUUUUGUUUUUAAAGAGUAAAUAAAAUAAGAAAGAAAACCCUAAGUGUGACUCCUUAUUUUGGAAAAGAUGGUCUGUGAAAAACCAAAUAUGAGCUUGGGGGUCAGGUUACUUAUUGGGAAGGUACGGUAAAAACUGUAACACCCUUCUAAGUCCCUAAAAAUGGAUCUCUACUAAUAAAAUGAAGCAAGUGUGGAAAAUGAUUGAUCAAUUGUGGAUACCAUACAGUAAUCGAGAGUGUGAAAGCAAGACACGCGUGAUAACAAAUAAAUAAAUAAGCACAAUCGGGUACAAAGCGUACCUUAAUCGCAAGCCAAGAGUUAUCAUAAGAGACAAGAUUAGUGCACAAAUAUGGGAUAAUCGCAUGCAUGUCAUAGAGUGAGGCAAACCAAUCAAACAUAGCAAUCAAUCGAUCAAUGGAAAAUCUCAUGUGUUGGGCCCCACGAAAGCCCGAUUUAUCUUAGUGUAGAUUAACUCCGUAAAUUUCAUUAUUCGAAAUUAUAGAAUUAUUCAUGCUUAUUAAAAAUGUGAAAAUUAGAAAACUAUUAAAAAUCAAGGAGAAUUUAUGAAAAAUGUUUACCGGAAAAAAAUGUGGUGACCAAUUUUAUUAAAGAAUGGAAAAUAUUUAAAAUCAAGAAAAAAAAAAAAGAAAAAUAAAAUAAAAUAAAAUAAAAUAAAAAAUAAAAAUAAAAAUAAAAAUAAAAAUAAAUAAAUGAAUAAAAUAAAAGAAAAUAAAAAAUAAAAAAUAAAAAAUAAGAAUGAAAAUAAAAAAAUAAUAAUAAUAAACAAAUAAAAUAAAAGAUGCAUGACCAGUGGAAAGUGGUAGAGAUUGACUUAUUAGAAUUGGAUUUAUUUAAAACCAUGAGAGAAAAAUUGAAGAAUUAAAACCAUUUGAAAAACAAGAUUUUUUUUUUUUUUGAAAAUUGAUUUUUGAAGGCGUGUAUUUUCCUAUAGGAGAUGAGACAUGUGUCUUAAGGAUGGCCUAUCAAAGGUGGCCAUGCAAGGAUCUUGUGCACUGGUGGUCGAAUAUGGGAUACCAACAACUGAGAUGGCCCAGAUGACUACUGUGGGUCCGGAUGGUUCAGAAUGUCUCUUUCCUUGUGAACCCCUGCAUCCCUUUCCAGCCUAAGUCAACCCCCGAAGCUAUGCAAUUCAGCCAUUUGGGUCCCAAAAUCCUCCUUCUUAGUUCUGAUGCUGACAUCACCAUCUUCUUCAACCUCAACUCUUCCAACAUUGGGUAAACCAUAGCCAUGGCAGCGACCUACGGAUAAACGUUACCUCCCCACCCAUCCGGCACCAGAUUAAAGUCUGUAGAAUGCGGCUUCCCCUUCAGCGCCACUGACCGGAGCUCCGGGAGCCGCCUGAUCACUAUCCCAGGGCUCACAGCGUAGUAGUCCUCGACUCCUCGAUGAAGAUCCGUCAUCGGCUCCACCGCUCCACCUCAUACCACGAUUUGCACACCACAGAUAUCACGUUUCGGUCCUUAUCGGUAUGAAUGAAAGAAAAGACAUGCUCCAAAACCUCUUCCGGAAACGAGUACGCCAUUGAAAAUUCUUUCUUGGAGUUCCGAAUUCACAAACAAACCCUAAAUCGAACUUUUCGAAGUCUCAAAUCCGAGAUGUCAUUAACAAGCUCAGUUGCAGAAUACAUCUUUCCGUUCAUUUCCCCACUGGCUUUGUCCCUGAAGUAUUUGUAGUCCGACAGAUUGUAGGGGAACCUCACUGACAUAUUGUGUUCGGUCUUCUCACUCACCACGACAAGGCUAUAAAGAUAGAGUUGAAACGGCGAAUCAAGAGGCAGCUUUAAGUGAUCGAUUUUACAGAAAGAACCCGCUUCCUCCAUUCCUUCAUUGGAUGAAAUUUUGGAUAAUCAUUCACCAAUUCUAACUUUCAUCUUCACCAAGUCUCGAUGCUUCUUCUUUAAUGAGUGCAACGAAUCUGCAUGUCGGGAGACCAAAUUCUCACGACGCAUAAGAAAAGAAUUUGCACCCGCCGUUACCGAUCCUUCUCCUUUGAUACCAACUCAUCCAUAACUAUGUCAUUUAAUCACUUCUCCAUUUGACCAUCCAUUCCGAACAUGCCCAGAAAAUCAUUGCUACUUCCUGUCCAACACUUAAAAGAAAAAUGACGAUGCCGGGUGUGGUGUUGAAUACAGGACGAAAAUGAGGAGCACGAUGGUGAAAGUGACCAUGCAUAGGGGAAAAAGUGUGGUGGAGAAAUGGGAAGAAUGAAAACAGGUAGUGAGAGAAACGGUGUAACAUAAUGUGCCUAUGCUGUGUUAGGUUAUAUAUGUAAAAACAACUUUUUUGUUUUUGUUUUGAGUGGUUGUCAUGCUUCCACGUGGAGAGAUUUACACAAGUUAAAUCUCUUUGCAUCUGGUUUAAAUUCUGGUGUCUGUACAACAAAAAAGUGAAGAACCGAGAAUACAAAGUGAAAAGAAAUAGGGUCCUCUGUUUUUUUGGGACUGUCUUAACUCCUCUGUUCCAGGUCUGUUACAAGGUGUCACUCUUCCAUUUUUUCUUUCUAUAGCCUUUCUCUGUUUUAGGCUGAAACUGCAGCCAACAUAAUUGGUAUUAGAGCAACCCAUUUCACGAAUCCACCUCUCAAUCUAAUCUUCGAUCCACCUUGCUGUUUCCAAUAUGAUCUAAUCCACUUCUUCUUUUCAAGCCCUUUUAUUUCUUAAAACAUGCCUCUUGUGUAUGGAAUUUUAAGAAAUUUCCUCUGUUUUGGAAAGAGAGGAUACUAGGGUUUCUUUUAAUCUGAAGACCAAAAUCCGAACCUACAAUGUAGCUGAAUUGGUGAUGUUGCUGUGCAAUCAGAUUCUGUCUAGAAACCCUCAAUCCUGAAGCAGACGGACCAAGGACUUGAAGGGUAGAUCAAUGGCCAGCACAAGUGUUACAAGUAUGAGUUCUCAACCUUCUUCUAUUCCAUUAUUUGAAGGAGAAAAUUAUGACUUUUGGUGCGUAAAAAUGAAAACUUUAUUUGUCUCAAGAUGUUUGGGAUUUGGUUGAAAAUGGUUUUGAUGAACCUCCGGUUGAAAAAGAUCAGUUGAAAGAAUUGAAAAAAAUGGAUGCAAAAGCUCUCUUAUUUAUUCAACAAGGUGUUGGUAAUAACAUCUUUCCAAGAAUUAUGAGAGCUUCAAAAGCUAAAGAAGCAUGGGACAUCCUUCAACAGGAGUUCCAAGGAGACAAAAGAACCCAGUCAGUAAAGCUUCAAGCUUUAAGAAGAGAGCUGGAAAAUAUGAAAAUGAAGGAGAAUGAAACUCUAAAUGAGUUUUCUUCCAAAUUUAUGGAGUUAGUAAAUCAGAUGAAGUCAUAUGGUGAAGAAAUUAGUGAUAAAAGAAUCGUUGAGAAACUUUUAAUCAGUCUACCUGGCAAAUUUGACCCAAUUGUGGCUAUGAUUGAAGAAACAAAAGAUCUCUCACUGCUCAGUGUACAAGAGCUAUUUGGGUCUUUAAAAACUUAUGAAUAGAGAUUGUUGAGGCAUUCUGAAAAAUCAGUAGAAAGUGCAUUCCAAUAAAAAAUAAGCCUUAACUCCAGAAAUGUUGAAAGGAAACCUAUAAGCAAUGAAAAUAAAAGUGAUUCAUCUAGAGGUGGUAGAACUGGAUGAGGAAGAGCAAAAGGAAGAGAUGGAAGAGGUAGAGGAAGAUUCAGCUAUGGAAGAAAGUUUACUAACGAGGAAGGCUCAUCAUUCUCAAAGUGUAAUAUUUGUAAAAGAAGUAGUCAUGUUGAAAAAGAUUGUUGGUUCAAAGGGAAGCCUCGAUGCUUCAAUUGUAAAAAAUUUGGGCAUGUUAAAAAAGAUUGCAGAUUUAAGAACAAUCAACAAGCAAGUUGUGCUGAGGAGAAAGAGGCUGAUGAAAACAUGUUUUAUGCUUGUCAAAGUGUUGCUGAGCAAAAGAAUAAUGUGUGGUUCCUUGACAGCGGCUGCACAAACCACAUGACUGGUAACAAAAAUAUUUUCCUUGACAUGGAUACAACCAUCAAAUCAUAAGUCAAAAUGGGUAAUGGUGAUUUAGUGAAUGUUAAAGGGAAAGGCACAGUUGGUAUCCAAACUAAAGUGGGAACCAAGUACAUCAGAGACGUUCUUCUUGUACCAGCCUUAGAGCAAAAUUUGUUAAGUGUGGGACAGCUAGUAGAGCAUGGGUAUAAACUUCACUUUGAAAAUAAUGAGUGCACCAUUUAUGAUAAGGAGCAAAGAAGAAAUUUAGUGAAGAAGAUAAAGAUGGAGAAAAAUAGAAGUUUUCCAAUUGUCUUCAAAUAUGUUGAAAAUGUGGCUUUGAGAAUGGAAGAUGUUGAAGAAGCUUGGUUGUGGCAUAGAAGAUUUGGGCAUUUGAACUUCAAUAGCUUGAAGAUGCUUUGUCAAAGGAAGAUGGUACAAGGAUUGCCAAACGCCAUUGAAGAAAAGAAUGAAGUAUGUGACGGUUGUGCUCUUGGGAAGCAUCAUAGACAAUCAUUUCCAAAGGGAGUCGCUUGGAGAGCAAAGAAGGUAUUGGAGUUAGUUCACACUGAUAUAUGUGGACCCAUGUCUACACCUUCUCAAGGCAACAACAAGUACUUUGUAUUGUUUAUUGAUGAUUUUACAAGAAUGACUUGGGUGUUCUUCAUGAAGCAAAAAUCAGAAGUGUUCUCUAUCUUUAAAAAAUUCAAGAGUUUUGUUGAAAAGCAAAGUGGUUGCUACAUAAAGACCUUGAGAAGUGACAAAGGAAUGGAAUAUACUUCAAGCCAAUUUGGUAAUUUUUGUGAAGAUGAAGGGGUUGAGAGACAGCUUACUGUUGCAUAUACUCCUCAACAAAAUGGAGUAGUUGAAAGGAAAAAUCAAACGGUUAUGGAAAUGGCCAAAGCUAUGUUAUAUGAGAAGGGUUUGCCUAAAAUUUUUUGGGCUGAAGCAGUUAACACUGCUGUGUAUCUUUUGAAUAGAUGCCCAACAAAAGCAUUAUUGAACAAAACUCUGAUUGGAGUAUGGAGUGGAAGAAAACCAUCUGUUAGACACUUCAAAGUGUUUGGGUGCUUAUGUUAUUCACAAGUUCCAAAGGAAAGAAGGAGCAAGCUGGAUGAAACAAGUGAAAAGUGCAUCUUCAUGGGUUAUAGUUCACAGUCAAAGGGUUAUAGGUUGUAUAAUUUGAAAACCAACAAGCUGAUCAUAAGUAGAGAUGUUAUUUUUGAUGAAAAAGCUGCUUGGAAUUGGGAAGAAGGUAAAAUUCUGAAGAAAACAAUUCUUGUUGAUGAACUUCAAACAAAAGCACCAGUUGAAACUGGAAAUGGCAGCACUUCAACUUCAUCACCUCAAGAAUCUCCAAGAUCAGUUCCAUUAUCUCCCUCAAUUGAGUCUCCAACUUCAAGCUCGUCGUCACCAUCCUCAACUCCAAGAAAAAUGAGAAGUUUGACUGAUGUUUAUGAGAGAUGCAAUUUGUGCAUUGUUGAACCUCAAAGUUUUGAAGAGGCAAUAAAAGAUGAAGAUUGGAGGAAAGCAAUGGAAAAAAAAAUUGAUGUCAUUGAGAAAAAUGAAACAUGGCAGCUGGUUGAAAAGCCAAAAGACAAAGAAAUCAUUGGGGUGAAAUGGAUUUUUAGGGUGAAAUGGAUUUUUAGGGUGAAAUACCAUUCUGAUGGUAGAGUUCAAAGGCUUAAAGCUAGAUUGGUUGCAAAAGGCUAUUCACAACAGCCGGGUGUUGAUUUCCAUGAGACCUUUGCUCCAGUUGCUCGCCUUGAUACUAUUAGAACUAUUAUUGCAGUGGUUGCUCAAAAAGGUUGGUUGUUGUACCAACUUGACAUAAAAUCUGCAUUUUUGAAUGGAAAGCUGGAAGAAGAGAUCUAUGUUGAACAACCUCAAGGAUUUGUUGUUGAUGGAGAAGAAAACAAAGUUUACAAGUUAAAGAAAGCCUUAUAUGGUUUGAAACAAGCUCCCCGUGCCUGGUACACUCAAAUUGACAGCUACUUCAUUGAAAAUGGUUUCAUUAGAAGCAAAAGUGAGCCUACCCUCUAUGUGAAGAGCAAAGAUAAUUCCCAAAUCCUUAUUGUUGCUCUUUAUGUUGAUGAUUUGAUUUUUACUGGAAAUGGUGAGAAGAUGGUUGAAAAAUUUAGAAAUGAAAUGAUGAAAAAAUAUGAAAUGAGUGAUAUGGGAUUGUUGCAUUAUUUUUUGGGAAUUGAAGUCUAUCAAGAAGAAGAUGGUGUGUUUAUUUGUCAAAAGAGGUAUGUUGAACAUAUCCUCAAAAAGUUUGGCAUGGCUGGUUGUAAUCCUGUAUCUACUCCUUUAGUUGUGAAUGAAAAGUUGAGGAAAGAAGAUGGAGGGAAGAUGGUUGAUGAAACUCACUUUAGAAGUCUUGUUGGAAAUCUGUUGUAUCUCACUGCAACUAGACCUGACAUCAUGUUUGCAGCAAGCUUGCUGUCAAGAUUCAUGCAUUAUCCUAGUCAUUUACAUCUUGGAGCAGCAAAAAGAGUCUUGAGAUAUUUGCAAGGCACGGUUGAACUUGGAAUAAAAUAUUUCAGGAAUAUUGAAGUGAAGCUAAUUGGCCAUUGUGAUAGUGAUUGGGGUGGCUGUAUUGAUGACAUGAAAAGCACAUCAGGCUAUGCAUUCUCCCUUGGUUCAGGUGUUAUGUCUUGGGUCUCAAAAAAGCAAGGUUUAGUGGCUCAAUCCUCUGCUGAAGCAGAGUACAUUUCAGCUUCAUUGGCAACUUCUCAAGCAAUAUGGUUAAGAAGAAUUUUAGAAGACAUUAAGGAGAAGCAAAAUGAAGCAACACAUCUACUUUGUGACAACAAAUCUGCUAUAGCCAUUGCAAAAAACUAUGUUUUUCAUAGUAGGACUAGGCAUAUUGCAGUGAAGUAUCAUUUUAUUAAAGAAGCUAUUUCAGAUGGUGAGGUUCAAUUGAUGUACUGUAAAUCAGAGGAGCAGGUUGCUGAUAUCUUCACUAAAGCAUUGCCUUUGGAGAAGCUUGUUCACUUCCGAAAGCUUUUGGGAGUAGAGGAACAUCACAUUAGGGGGGAGAAUGUAACAUAAUGUGCCUAUGCUGUGUUAGGUUAUAUAUGUAAAAACAACUUUUUUGUUUUUGUUUUUGUUUUGAGUGGUUGUCAUGCUUCCACGUGGAGAGAUUUACACAGGUUAAAUCUCUUUGCAUCUGGUUUAAAUUCUGGUGACUGUACACAAAAAAAGUGAAGCCGAGAAUACAAAGUGAAAAGAAAAAGGGUCCUCUGUUUUGUGUGGGGACUGUCUUAACUCCUCUGUUCCCAGGUCUGUUCCAAGCUGUUACUCUUCCAUUUUUUCUUUUUAUAGCCUUUCUCUGUUUCAGGCUGAAACUGCAGCCAACAAGAAAAAAGGUGUUAAAACCCAUUUACAGAUAAUCCUACUUUUUCAAGCAGAGUAGUAGGAAGCCUAGAGAGUAUCGAUAGGAAACAUGCAAGUGAGAUGGGUUCAGUUACAUAUAACUGCUCAUGCCUUCUGCUCAUGUUCUGUCCACAGUAUUUAUGUUUAGUAAGCCAUCNNNNNNNNNNNNNNNNNNNNNNNNNNNNNNNNNNNNNNNNNNNNNNNNNNNNNNNNNNNNNNNNNNNNNNNNNNNNNNNNNNNNNNNNNNNNNNNNNNNNAUGGCUGGUUGUAAUCCUGUAUCUACUCCUUUAGUUGUGAAUGAAAAGUUGAGGAAAGAAGAUGGAGGGAAGAUGGUUGAUGAAACUCACUUUAGAAGUCUUGUUGGAAAUCUGUUGUAUCUCACUGCAACUAGACCUGACAUCAUGUUUGCAGCAAGCUUGCUGUCAAGAUUCAUGCAUUAUCCUAGUCAUUUACAUCUUAGAGCAGCAAAAAGAGUCUUGAGAUAUUUGCAAGGCACGGUUGAACUUGGAAUAAAAUAUUUCAGGAACAUUGAAGUGAAGCUAAUUGGCCAUUGUGAUAGUGAUUGGGGUGGCUGUAUUGAUGACAUGAAAAGCACAUCAGGCUAUGCAUUCUCCCUUGGUUUAGGUGGUAUAUCUUGGGUCUCAAAAAAGCAAGGCUCAGUGGCUCAAUCAUCUGCUGAAGCAGAGUAUAUUUCAGCUUCAUUGGCAACUUCUCAAGCCAUAUGGUUGAGAAGAAUUUUAGAAGACAUCAAGGAGAAGCAAAAUGAAGCAGCAUAUCUACUUUGUGACAACAAAUCUGCUAUAGCCAUUGCAAAAAACUAUGUUUUUCAUAGUAGGACUAGGCAUAUUGCAAUGAAGUAUCAUUUUAUUAAAGAAGCUAUUUCAGAUGGUGAGGUUCAAUUGAUGUACUGUAAAUCAGAGGAGCAGGUUGCUGAUAUCUUCACUAAAGCAUUGCCUUUGGAGAAGCUUGUUCACUUCCGAAAGCUUUUGGGUGUAGAGGAACAUCACAUUAGGGGGGAGAAUGUAACAUAAUGUGCCUAUGCUGUGUUAGGUUAUAUAUGUAAAAACAACUUUUUUGUUUUUGUUUUGAGUGGUUGUCAUGCUUCCACGUGGAGAGAUUUACACAGGUUAAAUCUCUUUGCAUCUAGUUUAAAUUCUGGUGUCUGUACAACAAAAAAGUGAAGAACCGAGAAUACAAAGUGAAAAGAAACAGGGUCCUCUGUUUUUUUGGGACUGUCUUAACUCCUCUGUUCCAGGUCUGUUACAAGGUGUCACUCUUCCAUUUUUUCUUUCUAUAGCCUUUCUCUGUUUCAGGCUGAAACUGCAGCCAACAAAUGGGAAUGAAAUGUGAUCAUGCAUGCAUGAGGAUAGAUGGAUAGCGGAGGAAGUAGGUUUAUAGGUGCUGAAAGAAAUGGGUGUUUAGGUUGAAUGGAAGGUGGAGAUGUGGGGCGUGGUGACGGGUAUGAUUGAUGGGCUCGGUGGGUAUGAGAAGAAGGAAGAUUGGAUAGUGGGAGAAAUGGGUAUCGAAGAUGGUCGUGUUUGCAUGAUUCCCAUGCAUGCGUGGAGCUUCAGGCACGUGAGAAAUGAUAGAAAUGAGGUCAAGGUUGGUUGGAUGAAUGAUGAGGGUGGAUGUGUUGGUUUUGAAACCAGAUAAAUAAAAGAAAAAACGGAAGCCAAAAAAAUUUUCUCAAAAUUUUUUCUCAAUGAUCAAUACUUGUAUUAAUUUAAUGAAAUAACAAAUAUAGGUAAAUUAGAAUUGUACCUUGCGAUUAGGCUGAUAAAUUUGAACUUCACCAAAAGGAUCUUAGAAUUCCAAAUCCUCUAAAGCACCAUGGAUCUUUCUCUAACGUUCUCCAAAUUAUGAUGAACUCAAAACGAGUGGGCGUUUUUCAUUCUUGGGUUUUUUUCUCACACAACUUAAUAUAUAUUGAAAACUUGUAUUCUCUUCCCAUCAUCCGAGAAACAUUGAGAAAAAAAAAAUUUAAUACCACGAAGAAAAAAAAAUAACUGACAUGUUUUGAAUUUUGAAAAACAUGGGAGAGAAUAUCUCUCCCCAUGAUCCCCACUUAAAAAGUGUUUCUUUGAAUUUUGAAAAACAUGGGAGAGAAUAUCUCUCCCCAUGAUCCCCACUCAAAAGGUGUUUCUUAGGGAAUACAAGUAAGUGUGGUUUUCACCACAUUGUAUCAAAAAAUAUUUUAAAUAAUCAAAUUAUAAAAUAAAUAAAUCAAAUCAAGAUUGUGUGAAAUUAAUUUAGAAUUUAAAAUUCCAAAACUAAUAAAAUCAACCCAACAUAAAAAAAUGUUCAUAUAAUUUUAAUGGAGCCGUUGAGAGGAACUAUGGACAUUAUAAUUUUAAGCUCCAAUAAUUUUGACAAUUAAUUAACAACUUAAUUAAAAAAUCAAAAUUAUUAAUUCCAAAAUUACUCCACUAAAAAUUUGGAAUUGCACUCUUAAAAUUAUAAAAUUAAAUAUAUUCAAAGGAUUUGAAUUGCCCAUUGAUAUAGUCACUACAUAUGAGUCAAUCCUCCAUAAACGGUUCAUAAUUAAAGCUAGGUUUUUCCGUUAACCUCUUUAAUUAUAUCUUUCUCCUUAAGUGCCAUUGGUUCUCUAAUGAAUAAUAUAUUUAUGGUCUAAUCAUAAAUUGAGCGCUCUUAUCAUUCAAGGCCCGAACCAAUACUUAUGGGAACCGUCCAUCUGACUUCUUAACGAAGGAAUGGAUUUCAUCUUGUAUAUUAAUAUUCCCGGCUAUUUAUUUUAUUAUACUUCCAAUACACCAAGAAUUUGACACUAUGUAUUUGUGUCAUUACCCGGUAUGUCAAAAAAUACAAUAGAAUAAAUAGGAGUCUAUUAAUCACUCAGAAUUAAGAUCAAUGCAUAUAUGACCAUCAUUGAUUAAUAUUAAAUGCUCUAUAUUAUAAUGGAAUUUAUCAGAGAUUCAUAAUUAAUCGUGUUCCAGUCCUAUAUAAUCAAAUUAUAUAAAGCGCUUUCAAUCUAAUAAUCUCAUUAUUAACAAUCCGGAUAAGAUCAUUUCAUUCAGAAUGUAAUGAACCGCGCUAGUAAUUUUAAAUUAAAGAUCCCAUCUUUAAUUUUUAAUUACGAACAUAUUAGAUUAUUUUACUUUAAAUAUUAUCCUCUUGUAUAUAACACUUAUAUACAAUAUUUAAAGUUUCAAUUAAAUAAUCUAGGGUUUUCGAUAUUUAUAAAGCAUCUAUAACAUGCAUGCAACAAUAAUAUUGAAAUAAUUCCUUAAAAAAAUAUUAAUAAUCAGCAAAAUAAAAAACAUCUCAUUUGUUUAUGGGCACAUAUUCCAACAGGAUGGUAUAGGAGAAACGAGCAUGGGGUUGGUGAGGUGGGUUAGUGUGGCCGUGUAUGGCCAUGCAAAGGUGGGAGGGAAUGAGAUUGAGAAGAGUGAAAAAGGGUAGAGAGAGAAAUGAGUAUGAAAGAUGAGUGAGUAUGUGAGGAUUGAAAAUGGAACGAGGUGAAGGUGGCCAUGUGCAUGAGAUUUUCAUGUACAUAGAAAAAUGAAGGAAAUGGGUAUUAGUGAGAGAAAUGGGUAUGGUGGAGUGAAGGAUGAAAGGGUGGCGGGAUUAGAUGGGCAUGGAUAGUAAGAGGUUAAAGAUGGGGAGGAUGGGUGUAGUGGUGAAACAGUGUGCAUGAAGGGUACGUGGUGUAGAGGGAUAAAUGGGUUCAUACGUUUCAAGGAAAGGGUGAUAUGCAUGGGAGGUUAUGAAAGAUAAGUAUGGAAAUGGGCAUGAGAAGGUGGGCAAUAUGGGUAGGAUGAGUUCGAUGGGUGUGAAGCGAUGGGUUUGAUGGAGGAUAGGACGGAUGAGAGAUGAAGGAUGAAGUGGGUUAGAGAGUAUUAAAGAAGUGGUGGUGCAUAGAAGGUUAGGGAGAAUGAGGGGAUGAGUUUGGGUGUGAGUAUGGUUACGAGCAUGGUGGAGUGAAGGAUGGAGUACAAAAGUUGCAGGAAUGAUGAGAUGAGGUGGCCAUGUGUAGGAAUUCCAUGCAUGUGGGUAGGAAACAAAUAGCUGGGCAGCAAGGUGAGUGACGACCUGAAAACUCUCAUCAUCAAGAGCAUGGGUGGCAGUGGAACAAAUCUUUUCCUCAAACCUUUCAGCAAUUUUCCAUAUCUCACAUAGUUCCUCGGAAUCAGACCUUAACUGAUCUAGCUGGCAACUCUUUGAAGGGAUGAGUCAUAAGGUUACAUACCAAAGAGAUUCUUAUGGUUCCACACCUCAGAGUAUAGUUCCCGUACCUAAGAACGCCUGAACAUCAGGAGCAGAGGGAAAGUAGCAAAGACGGAGCAUAGAUGAAGAAAAUAAGAUUAACCAUCAAAAGCCACACUUCGUGUCCUAGUCAGUGGGCUUAAAGAUAGGUGGAUUAAAAGAGUUUCUAAAUGGCGCGAAGGAGAUAAAAUGGAGUUGAAACAAUUUUUGAACACAAACAGGAGCAAUAGAGGAACUGUCAACUAUGAAGAAAAAAAAACCAUAAAUCAUCCAAAGAUCAACAGCAACACAUCUAAAUAAUAGUAGAUGAAAAGAAAAGAAAUAUACACAGUGGAAGACUUACUUCUGGGAAAAUGUUGGAGGUCCUUCUUCUCUGCUUCUUCUUUUUCUCUUCUCCCACAACUCAUUUUUCCCUCAACUAUUUUAUUUUUCUCUUCCAGAACCCUCCGGAACCAAAGGUGUCCCCCCCUCCAGAUACUACCCCUCAGUUCAAAAAUAUCUCAUGUCUCUCUGAACACACUCCUCUCUCUCUUCGAUUCCCUCUCAAUCUUCUCUGAAAAAAAAACUCUCGGCCCCCCUCCAAAAAACGCCUUUUUUUCUCUUCCCUAAGCUAUCUAUCCCCUUGUUACAACCCACAAAAAUGUCUUUCUUGUCAUGUAGCCCCAUUUUCUGUUCAGUUCUGUCUCCUCUCUUCAAACGGUUGUGUCUCCCCUUUUUGAAACAACUCACCAUCAGCUGCUUUUCUUCCUACUUUCCAUCCCGUCUAGCCACCCAAAAACAACUCAUUCCCAGUCCUCUUUGGCUGCCCAAGAACGGCUCACCCAUCAUCCGCUUUCUUCACCUUCCGUCUUCUUUGGCUGCCCGAGAACGACUCCUUCUCAGGGUGGCCAGAAAAAUAAAAAAAAAUAAUAUGAAACCCCUCCAUCUCAAGGGUCUACAAAGGUGUUUUCAAAAAACAUAUAUUAGUUGUUUUUAGUUUUCUUCAUUAGCUUGGUUGUUUUAAAAAAAUAAUUAUACAAAAAAAAUGAUUAAAAAUAUAAUAUUAUAUACAAAAAUUAUUUAAAAAUUAUAUGCAUGAGUUUUGGAAAGUCUUGCAAAAUAAGCAAAGCUAUAGGAAAAAUAUGCAAACAAAAAUUUGUAUUAAAAUCAUUGGGGGCGGACAAUAUUUGUGGAAAAAUAUUUUUUGCCAAAGAAUAUUUUUUAAAGAUCAAUUGAAAGCCUAAAGCGACUUGUUCCCAAAUGAAUUUAUUGAAUGGUGAAGAGCAUGUAUGUUGCGAUUUUUUGGAUUUGUAGGGGGUAUUUUAUAAAGCUUUUUUUCUCUUUGUGAAACUUCUUUUCAUAUGUGAAAUUGUUUUAUUUUUUUAUCAUUUUCAUUGAAGGAAGUUGCAGAUAUUUAUAGAUGAAAUUAAAAAAUUAAAUUUAGAAUUUCUAAGAUUUGAUUACUUAAUUAAAAAAAUUGGUUUCUUAAUUUUAGCAACUUGUCUUUUUCAUUAAGGAAGUUUGCUAACAAGAGAUUAUUUACUUCUCAUUUUCUUUUGACUUCAAUUGGAAGAUUUGUUUCAUUUGUUUAGAAAAUUUGCCAACGAGAAAAUAUUGAUUUCUAAUUCUUUUUUAUUUCAAUUUUUUGAUUUGAUUUGAUUUUGCAAGACUUUAUUGUAUAGCCUUCCAAAUUUCGCUACAUGCCAUUUUUUGAAUCAAAUGCCACAUGUUCAAUAUAUAUGACUCAUCACUUAUCAAGCCCAAAUUUUGUUGAGCUAAGGAGUUACAAUUUUGAAGACUAAUUUGGUAGUAUUUUAAUCCACUAAAAUUUUUUAUGUUUACAAAUGCCCUGAAGACAGAUCACACACAUACAUUGCCAUGUAUAAGAGGUGAAUCUUGAAGUUAGCCAUUUGAAUCUUCCAUAUCCUUCUUUGAUUUUAUUUUUUUCGAAGAAAUAUUUUAAUAGGAAAUUUCCUAUUCAAAAUACUUUUCUUCAACUUUUUCCAAACACUACUUUAUUUAUUUAUUUAUUUAUUUAUUUAUUUAUUUAUUUAUUUGCCUGGUAUCAAAGAAAGACCUUGUGUUAAUGGGAAAGCUUCUUAUUUGAAUAUCUAUUUUCUUUUCUCAUGGUAUUUUCACUUCCAAUUUGCCAUCCUACAAUAAGUCCUUCACCCUAGCUUGGUCAAUUGCAUCUUAGACUUGUUCACAUGCCUUUAACUUGUAAUUCAAGUUCCAUUUUUUUUUGUUUAAAAAAUAAUACAAUAUAUUUGAGCAAGACCUUAAGCAAGAGAAGAGAGGUGGAGGAUGGAGCACCAGCUAACCUUAGGGCAAGAUCUUGAGCAAGAGAAGUAAGGUGGAGAAUAGAGCACAAACUUCUUUAGAGUAUGGUAGGCAUGUCGUCACAGAGUUAUCUUCCACAUGGAGCAUGGUAGGGCAUUAUAUAUAUGAUAGGGUGUGCCAUCAUGUAACAAUGAAGAACAACAAUCCAUGGUGUACAAUUGGGAACAACAAUUCAUGCUAUCAAGAUUCACCUGUUUUUAUUUAUUUUUUAUUUUUUAUUUUUAUCCCUAUCUCCACCCUCGACUCCAUUUUUUUUUUUUUCAAGUUUCUAGAUCCCUUUUGAUUCUUUCUCAUUUUCUUUUUUCAACUCUUUUUUUCCCUCCUUUUUUAAGCAUUGUUCUUAAGGAAAAAAUAUAAUUUACGAGUACCUGGAUUCUAUUCGAAUAAAAAAGAGCCAUUCACAUGCAUGGAUUAAAUAUAUAUCUCAUGGAUACAUUGUACUUAGCCACGGCUGAAGCUUUCCACUAUGACUUAGAAACAAAAAAAGAAAGAUAUGAUUAAAAAACUGAUUGGCAUGUGGCUGUGCUUGCCAGUAGAUGGCUGAAAAGUAGUUCUGACCUUUUGUUUUGGCCUCUACUAAGGAACCCAUUAUUGAGAGAUUUAAUGGCAACUAUAUAUGGUAUAAAUAAUGUUUCAUAAAGUACUUACACAUCUUAUUCUCAUUUCUAUCAAUGCAAUAAUGUAGACCCCCAUGUGGGGCUUGAUCUGCUGCAGCACAUUUGGCCACGUGUCACUCUCCGAUUGGCCAUCAUGGAUGCUCUUGAAGGCCAAUCUGGGGUCGACACGUGUCAUCAUGGAAUCAGACAAAAAUCUUUUUUUGGCUGUUAUUUGAGGGAGAAAAGCGGCUGCAUGAAGGUGGUGGUCUGGCCGUUUUGAGGAGUGCUUUUGGGAAGGCUGCAGGGUAGUGGUGCAGGGGGUGUCGUCUGGCAGCUGCAUUGAGAGUGAGAGAAAAAGGAGGGGAGAGACUGAGAGGGCAAGUGUUCACUGUCGUUUUGGCAUUGGGAGAGGGGGGUUUUUUUUUUCUAGAGAGAACAGAGAGCUAGAGGGAGAGUAAGAGUUUUGCUGGAAGGGAUUCCUUGAGCUGAGGCUGCCGGAGAGAUAUUUUGAGAGGGAGAGGUUUUUGGUGGCUGUUUUUCUGCAGGUCGUAAGGAAAACAGCCAGAGAGCUAGAAGGAGAAAGGGAAAAGAAAAAGCUAAGAAAAACAAAGCAGAGAGCUUUAGUGAGAGAGAGGAUUCCAGAGAGCACUGAGAGGAGAGGUUGCAGAGAGGAGUCCAGGGAGAGUUUCCAUUAGAGAGAGAAAAACAAAGGAAGAAGAAGAAAGGCAAACUGAGAGAGAGGGAGGAGAGAAACAGAGUAAGCUACAGGAGGUAUGGAGCAGAAAGAGUGAAGUAGAGCAACUCGAUACCCAUCUGGUCUUGCAAGAAAGAGGUGUGUUCAGGAUUUGAGAGAGGAGCAGGUGGGAUUAGAGAGGGUUCUUUGGCAGCUGCAGGGAAGACAAGGGAGGAUCUCCAAGUAAGUUUAUCAUGGUUUUCCAGUCUUUUUCUUAUUAUGAUAAUUGAUCCAUUAUUCUUCCUGCUAUUUCUGGGUAUUGUUUGAUGGCUUGAGCGUGGAUGCCCCCCAUUGUUUGAUUUCUAUUGGUUUCAUGGUAUGAAUGUGGAUUUAUUGUUAUAGUUUUUUUUGUCUCUCUUUCCUCUUGGGUUUUGCUGGAAAAUAACCUCACUCUAUUUCAAUUCCACUGUGAAAUGCUUGAGAAUCAUGACUUGUUCAUAUUGGCAUGAAUUUUCCCACCUAGUUAGCAGGCUCCCUGAUAACCCAUGAAGUGGAGCCUCAUUUGAUGAUAACUUUAUUUUGUUUUUCUUUUAUGUUCUGUUUUCCAUGGCUUCUUCUUUCUUGUGGCUCUUAUCUAAAUGCAUGGGAUGUGAGGAAAAGACCAGGAUCUUCAAGAUCUCCAAGCUGAAGAUGUUAUCAAGGAGCAAGCAAGUCAGACUUCUGUAUAAGUUCCACGACCCUAGGGAAAUGGUCUGAGAAGGUCUCUCGUGAAGCUAUGUAAGGUUGGCCGGAAGAGUCUUUCUAUGUUUCAACAAGCAGUUUCUGUGGACUUAGUUGGGUGCUGGACUUGGGUUUUAAAUGGUGGCCAGUGGAGAGCUUUUCGAAAAUCUCUUUCUAUUCAGGAUAAAGAGGUGCUCAAAGCCCGGGAUUUUGUUUUGAGUGAGGCAAGGAAGUAUGAAAUCGGGUUCAUAUUGUCAUUAAGUAAUAAUUGGGGAGAAUAUGGUGGCAAAGCAUAGACAACAACAGGCUCCCUCUGGUCACGGUACUGCUGAAAAUAAGGAAAGAGUCUUUCCAUGCUGGCAUGAGUGUUGAUGAAACCACCAUUACCCUACUCUCGCAUGGCUAUCUAUUUGCCCAGUUUCUCAUACCCACUUUCAUAUUAGCCUUCUCAAACCUCCCAGCAUGCUGUUUUUUUUUUUUUUUUUUUUUCUUGAAAUCUCACGGAUCAAUUCAUUCUUCUAUGCCCUUUACCCUUCAUGCAUACUAUUUUACCACCACAACCAUUAUCCCCACUUUCAGCAUAAUACCGAAAAUGCCCAUCAAGCAUUUUUUUUUCAUUUCAUAUUAUCCCUUCCACUAAUUUCCCACUCCCUAUUCCACACCAUACCCCCCGUGGUAAAUAUAGUCAAUGUUCUGACCCAAUUUUUUUUUUUUUUCUUUUAUCCCAUGCACGGAUCCACCUUUAAUAGACCCUACACAAUCAUCCCUUGGGACCCGAACUCACAACCCGUUUUCACUAUCAUCCUUCUCGCUCCUCUGUUUGUAAGUCAUUCAUGCCACUUUCCAGUUUUGAUAGAAAUGGAGCAGUUCCAUUGAUGUUUGCAGGGCUGCAAAUAUUCAUACCAGUAGGUAACCAUGCUAUCUCAGGACUGAAGUCUCGGAUCUUGGAAGGGUUCUCGCAGCGGGGUUACAGCGUUUUGCUCUCUUCACGAUCCGUGACUGCAGCAUAGUCGUGGUUUCCAAGUACAAUAUGGCAAUGGAAGUCAUUCAAGGGCUUUUGAAUGCAUAAUCAGUCGAUGGAGAUAUUCGGAAACAUGCAGAAGAGAGUUUAAAACAGUUCCAGGAGCAAAAUCUUCCAAAUUUCCUACUAUCUCUUUGCUUUGGCAAACUUUACCGAUGGUAUGGAGCGUGAUUAUAUCAUGAGAGUUGUCUGUGAAGCAACUCUGUCUCCUGAAGUCAAGAUAUUAAUAAAAGAGGUAGUGAACAUCCAAAGCAAGGAGAUGAUGAAGACGCUGAUGCUUCAGAUGAGAACUACAAUGGUUGAGGCAGAAAUUGAAGAUUGGACAAGGGAUUAUAGCAUCCGUACCUUGCUGAAGUUGCCAUGGAUAAAGGGCCCCUCUUCCAUCAAUUCAAACAGGGAUUACCUUUUGUUCUUUUCUGAGAGUUACAGAUUUUAUGGGAUGCAAUUGGGGCCCGCCAUGCAGCAUUAUUGACGUCAAAUUCACAGCUACAUGCUGAUAGUUUGGAUGAUAACAUGUGCGGCACAACUGUAAUAACAGUAUUGAUUCGUGGUCGGGCUAUAUAUGUUGCUAACUCAGGGGAUCCCAGAGCUGUUACAGUAGAAAGAAAAGGGAAGGAAAUUGUAGCUGUUGAUUUAUCAAAUGAUCGUUACCAUCCAUGCAGACUCUUGGUGGAUGACAUGUCCAGGGAAGCAUUUCCAGAAUCCUGAUGUGUAAAGGUAUAGCAGGAGGGAUGGUUGGAGAGUUGCAAGGGUUACGUCGCCCACUCAUUUGAGGUUUGAACUUGAUGUGCUAGCAUUCUCUGGUGCUACUUUAAUAAGGGUUUGGGUCACUUUGCUCUUCCCCCAGUGAAGCUGUGAACUGCCAUCUGUCACUUCCUCAAGUCAUUAUAACCCCGGUCGUGGUCUUCUCUCCCGUGCUAGGUCUCUCAGACUUCCUCAGGGCAUGCCUUUUUUUCAUUUUGCCUAUUCCCUAUUAUUGUUACUAUUAUUAUUUUCAUUUCUCUUUUUAUUAUAUUAAAUUUAUUUCACCUUUUAUUAUUAUUAUUAUUUUCUUUAUUAUUAUUAUUAUUUUAUCCUUGUUGUUUUCAAAAUAAUCCAUCAAAUUCCAGCUUUCAAAGGGUUUUCCAAAUUCCAUUUUUAUAAAAUUUAUUUACUUUUAAUUUUCAUCUUUAGUUUUUUUAGAAUCCCUCAAAAAUCUCAUUUCAAAUAAAAUUCACCGCCAUUUUUUGUUUUGGCCAGUGACUUUCACAAUUCCUCUGAUUUUCAAAAUGUUUUAAAUAAGCUAGAAUCGAAUUCCGUAAUUCCUAGUGAUGGAAUUUAUGGAAUUAAUUCAUGCAAAAAUGAAUUGGGCUUUGGUGGGGGCCCUACAUAUGAGAUUUCAUGAUUGAUUGACUGAUUGAUUCAUUCAUUAGCUAUAUGUGAUUGAUUUACUCUGUUUCUUGAUAUACACAUUAUCCUUCUGUGUUUGUUCACUAACCCUGUUUCUGAUAGCGCGUUACGGCUCGCGGCCCAGGUACGCACUCUCUAUACCUAUUCUGUUUUUUUUUAUAAGUGUAAGAUGGAUUUGAGUAUCCAUUGAUUUUUCCAUUGAUUGUCAUGUCAGCUUCAUUUUAUUAGUAGAGACCCGACUUUAGGGACUUAGAGGGGUGCUACGGUCUUUACCGUACCUUCCCGAUAAGUAACCUGACCCCCGAACCCGAUCCGGUUUUUCAUAGACCGCCUUUUCCAAAAUGAGGAGUCACACUUAGGGUUUUUCUUUCUUAUUUUGUUUACCCUUUAAAAAUAAAACAAAAAUAAGUGGCGACUCCAAGUCAUUUUCAAAUAAUCAAUAAAAUCAAUUUUUCAAAAUAAAAAUCGAGUUUCACCAUCGAGUGGGAAACACAUCGAGCUCAGAAUCGAAAAUGCGGGGUCCACAAAUAAUCAUAAUCAUCUUAUCUAUAAACAUGGCCUAGAGCCACAGAGCUGCCUUUUCUUUAGUCCUCGAGCCAUUUCAGCUAAAAGUAGUCUUUCCUUAGCAUUUCCGGUUCUAAGCUCCCAUUUCUUUAGGCCUUGAGGCAUUAAUUUUCAGCCCAGAGCUGCUUUUUCUUUCGGCCUAAGCUGCCUUUCUCUAGCAUUUUCAGCCCAGGGCUACCUUUCCUAGGCAUAUUAGCCCAAAGCUUCUAUUUCUUUAGGCCUGGAGCCAUUUCAACCUAGAACAUUUGUUUCUUUAGGCCUUGAGCCCUUUUCAACCCAGAACUGUCAUUUCUUCUAAAUAACUUCUCUUUUAAAAAAACUUCAAUUUUUCUUUCCAAUCACAAAUUUUAAGGCUUUGUUCCAGGUUUCAAGAAGCUGGUAAAAAUCUUCUAUUUAACAUUUCAGCAGUGAAUCGAAUUCACGAAGGAAAAAAAAAAUCUUGACGGCAUAAAGUAGGACAUGGGAUAGUUUGAAAUGCGUAAUUUUCAUCAUUCAAAUGUAAAACAUAUUAACUCUAUUUAGAUACUUUAACCAUUUCAAAUACUACAUACAUGUUCUCUUCAUUUUUUUUCUCUCUCGCAUUUUCCAUCAAAUUUUUCAACAAUCAAACAUAACCUUUAAAAAACAGAUAAUUUUACUUAUUUUGAAAGUGCUUUACAUAUAGCUUCUAUGAAAAGCUGUUUCAUGUUAAUUUAAUGAUGCACUUAUAAUAUUAAGAUUGCCCUUUCAUAAUCAUGAAUUAACCUUUAGUUUCAACUUCUACAAGAGGCUAAAUGAACAAAGCUAUCACAGAGGAGGCCUCAGCCAAUGAGUCAGAUGCACUGUUGUACCAAACCAAGGAUUUAUUUAUAAUGAAGUGCAGUCUCCAUAUGCACAUGAGACUGCAUUUACAGCAAAAAGACAAGGAAAUUAACAAUGUUGGAAUUACUGGAAAAUCACACAAAUUAUUGAAGGAGGACCUUAGCUAGGUUGUCUCCUAAAUUGCCCAUCUUUUUAUAUCUUUGCAUUCAUCUAUCUCAUCAUCGUCUUUGAUUUUAGAUGGUGAGGAUGUGAAAGUAACAGGAAGCAGUGGACGAUUGUUCACAGUGAGGCUUAGCACAUCAGCUCUCGAAUAAUGUCCUACCACGUCAAACUGGAACUUUGCUUUAGGAAUCUCUCCACGAACAUCUGCAUAUCAAGUGAUCAUAAAAAUAUUUGAUCAGCCCAUGAUAAAUAUCAUAGAGUAUCAAGUCUUCCAUAAAACUAUGUUUGCAGUCCCUUUAAACCUAAAGAAUUGACUCAUUUGCCUUAUCUGCAUACUGAAUUAUUUGGAUAUAUAAUCGGAGAAGUUAGGGCCAUACCAAGAUCAGCUGUGAAGAGGCCUUCUCCUUCAUAAUUCGGUCCUGCUAGAAUUUCGCCAUGGGGCGAAAUGAUGACACUACCUCCAGCCCAAACAAUAGAAUCUGGAGUGACAUCUUCUUCUGUAGGACUGUAAAGAUACUCAGGUGGAGGUGGGUAAUCUUUCCUCCGACAGAACUGGAUGGGUGAAAGAACAUAGCAUCCACCCUCCAUAGCGAUGUGUCUCAUUGUAGCUACCCAUGUAUCCCCGGAAUCGGCAGUAGGAGCACAAUAUAUCUCAAUUCCUAUAUA
RNAcentral lists this long non-coding RNA (74239 nucleotides) under Vitis vinifera (wine grape). RNAcentral describes it as "long non-coding RNA (VVIN_LNC000544)". The record is from RNAcentral. Lineage: Eukaryota; Viridiplantae; Streptophyta; Magnoliopsida; Vitales; Vitaceae.